CCAUCGUUGAAGAUCCUUGACAUCAGCCAUUCUCAAUGCCUUAGUGAAACCAUUGACUUCUUUUCCCCAAUCUAGAGGAACUGAUUCUUGUAGAUUGCACAAGCCUGAAGAAUGUUCAUGAAUCCAUUGGAAACCUGGAGAGACUCGUGUACUUGAAUAUGAAGGAUUGCAAGAAUCUUAGGAUGCUUCCGAAGAACAUGUGCAUGCUUAAAUCACUUGAAACACUCAUUUUAUCUGGUUGCUCAAAUCUUGAUGAGUUUCCAGUGGAGAUGAUGAAGAAGAUGGAGUCUCUGAAAGUUCUUCAGACAGAUGGAAUUGCAAUAGGUGAAUUGUCGCCAGAAAGAUGUUUGAGUUCUUUUCCAUGCUCUUUAGUAGAGUUAAGUCUGAAGGGGUGCAAUCUUUCUGAUGAUGUCUUUCUUACGGAUUUAAGUAAUCUAUCCUACUUGAGAAGACUACAUUUGGAUGAGAAUCCAAUUUGCAGUCUGCCAGUUUUCAUCAAAGGUUUGAGGAGGAUCGAUGAACUCUCUUUCAAGGGUUGUGAUAGGCUCGAAUCCCUUGUGGGGUUGCCGGAAGUACACCAAAGGAUGAGUAUAGUCGGAUGCAUAUCAUUAAAAAAAAUAACUUUUCAUUCCCCUAAGCAAUUGUAUCCAAUAUAUGUGGGUGACAACUGGAAUCUUGUUGAGUGGGGGUGCUAUUACAAAUUAGAGCCUAUUGAUAGAGUUGAUGUGGAAAUGAUCAAACUUUUGGGCUUGUGCAACUUGGAAUCCAUGCCAGCUGUUCAAAUGCAUUAUCCAGACUCAGACAGCGAUCCAAAAGAGGUCCCCGUCCAGGUGCGCCUUUCUUUCUCUCUCUCAUAAGUCUUAAAUAUAUAAUGGGAAAGAAAUGACUGAGUAAUAUUGUGAUGACUGUGGCAAAUACAUAGGGACUCUAUGAAUGUGGUAUAUUCAGCACGUUUUUUGUUGAGAAUGAGGUCCCAGGCCGGUUCAGCUAUAAAAGUACCAAGUCCUCGAUAUCUUUUAUUGUCCCUUUACUACUUGCUAGUCACAGAAUUCGAGGCUUGAACAUCUUUGCUACCUAUGCAAAGGAAAAUUCAAAUAAUUAUUUUACUAGACCUGGCAUUGCUCCAAUAAUGAUCAAAGUGAGAAACAAGAGUAAGGGUCUGAAGUGGAUCUAUGGCCCAAUAUUCUAUGGUAUCCCAGGUGACGGAGAAGAUAUGAUAUGGUUGAGCCAUUGGAAGAUGGAGAAUAAAACAAUAUUACAAUGUGGAGAUGAAGUGGUGGUUUCGGUAAUAACCGGACCAUGUGACUUGUUUUGGGUAAAGGAGUUUGGUGUCGAGCUUGUGCCAGAGCACCAAGACAAGAUGAGUACCCAACACAACACCAAAUCAGAUCCUAAUUAUCCACUUGUUAUCGGUGGAGAUUUGGAGACGUGGAAGUGCAGACCGGGAAUAUACUUCCUUGGUGGUCGGACAAGUACAGAUACUGACGACAUUGAUAUCCUCACCAUGGACUCUGAUGAAGAAGACACAAGUAUGUUGUGUUGUUGUAUUGCAUUGAAUUAUACUCCAUCGAAACACUUCCAGGUGUGUCUGUAUUCAUUUCAAAAACGUUUCAAUAAAUUUUAUGUUAUUUAUAUGUUUUUCAGACGAAGAAGGGCAAGAGGAUGAAUCUGAUUACACAAUUGCAAAAACGAGGGCUGCUAGCAAUAACUGCAGUUUGAGAGGCUGGAAGGUGCACCUCACGGCUGUCGGCUUCUUUUUCGCGCUUGCUCUAGUAAGUUGGUCCUCCCACUCCCGAAAAAAGAAGCGACAGUCGUCCACAAGCCCACCAUGAGUUUGUAAUUUGACUUGAUAUGGAUAUAUCUUUGCAUUCCUUGCUCUCAAGAUGUUUUCUACCUUCAAAACUUCAGGUUCAGAGCUAAGCAUUCUUAACCGCUUGAGAUAUAAAUGCCCUUUGUAACUAGAUACCGAAGUUCAAAUGUGUUCAACUCCAUCAAAUAUAGCAUAAAAUACAUCCAGCAUUGAAUGCAUGUGUUUUGAACUACAAGAAAUCUUAUACAUUGGGUAGACCGUAUAGUGUAUCACAUUCAAAUGCAAUUAUUCAUGAAGAUGAAGUAUGAGAUGCCCUAAUUGUUUUACCAGAAGAUGCUGGAUCAAUUGUCUCAAAAAAUUAUUUCGGUAAUUGUUGGUAAAACUCAAAGUUAUCCAAAAGUUUGGGGUCAGCAUAAGCUUAUGCAUCAGCAUCAGAUUGUGUCUCCUAUCAGACUGAAGGAAUAAAAUUACUCAAUUUGUGCAAAUAAAAAUAAAAAUUUUAUAACACAUCAAAGAGAUAAUUAAAGGAGACCUCACAAGCUGUACAUCCAAGUGGCAAACAAAUCAAAAUUUUAAAUAAAGCUAAUGGCGCAUGAAGAGUAUUGAAACACUCAUAGCCCUCGCACACAGGUUGCAUGGUCUUUUCUUAUAACAAUAAAAGGAACAAAUUCAUCAAGUCACAUUUGGGCCAUUAAAAAAAGCUACAAAUUCAUCUUUCCAUGUCUUUAUCUCACAAACCCAUAAUGUGGCAAUCCUCCAUUAGAAAGGUAACGUACGUUUUGAAAAACGUGGCAAAUAUUGAAUGAGUAAUGACGCCUCUAAAAAUAAAAUUGAAUUAUUUGAAAGAAUCUCUCAUAAAAUAAAGUAGGGGUAAAGUACAAAAAAUUACUUCAAAUAUUAGUCUCAUGACAUUGUCAUACUUCAUCUUUUAAAAUUGACAAUAUCAUACCUCAUCUUUAGAAUUUGGUCAAUUUUAUACCAUCCUUUAGCCUGACCGUUAAUUUGUCAGUUAAAUACUGACGUGGCUUGAUCCAAACCCCACUUUCUAUUAAAAAAUUAAGAAAAUAUUAAAAACCCCACCCCCUAUCUCUCCUCCCUCAUCUUCUUCCCCUGCUCUGCCCAGAAACGAAACGAACAAAAAAAAAAAAAAAAAAAUCAAAACCCAAUUCGUCCCCACCCCACCCCACCCCCUCUAUCUCCUCCCCCAUCUUCUUCCCCUGCUGCCCAGAAACGAAACGAAAAAAAAAAAAAAAAACUAAAAAUCAAAACCCAGGUCGUCCCCACCCAAGACUUGGGCUCGCACACCCAUGGCUCGCCGGACCUGGGUUGGGUGUCCUCUGGGUGCCUCGGAGCUUCACGGAGACGAAAAGAGAAAGGGUUGACGCCAAUGAUGGUUUUGGUACCGUCGUCGGUGGGUGUGGGUGUGUAAAUGGGUGCGUGAGUGUAGAUCUGGGAGAGGGGUAUAGUCUGUGCGAGAGAGGGGGAGAAAGAGUGAGUGAGCUGAGAGAGAGGGAGAUGUUGGCAUGGGUGGGGAAGGGUGGGGGGUUGCACGGAGGGGGAACGGGAAGGGGUCGGGGUGGGGGGGGGGGAGAUGAGAAUGGGUUCUGGGAUGCAGAGAAGAGAGAAAGGCGAGAGAGAAGGGGAGAGAGAGAGAGGAGAGAGAGAGAGAUUUAAUAUAAAAAUAAAAAAGAGAGGAGAGAGAGAGAUUUAAUAUAUAUUUUUUUAAUUUUUGAAUAUUUAAUUAUUAAAAAUGUAUUUUAUUAUUUUUUAAUCCAAUUGGAUUGGAUUAGUGAGUGGAACACGUGUCGGGCCACGUCAGUAUUUAACAGAAAAAUUAACAGAAAAACUGACGGAGGUGCGACAUUGACACAAAUUCCUAAGAUAAGGUAUGACAUUGUCAAUUUUAAAAGAUGAGGUAUGAAAGUGUCGUGACACCAAUAGUUGAGGUAGUUUUUUUAUACUUUACCCAAUAAAGUAACGAAUAAUCAACAAAAGUAGCAGUACACCAAGUUGAACCUUUUUCAACGUUGAAAUGAAAUAUGAAAGGAGAUCAAGUUGAUAUUAGUCGUCACUUGUAUUUUAUUUUUUUGAAUAAACGAUAUUGUCUACAUUGAGGAGAAUGAGUUCGUUAAGCCUUACAAUGGGCUAGUAAUAAUAUAGUUCAAAUUCGUAUUUGGCGAGAAUCAAAUCUAAAGUUUCUCACUUACAAAUGAAGAGAAAUAUCAUUGGACUAUAACAUUAUUCAUCUACUUAAAAAUAAUGAAUAAUCAAGAAAAACAUUGCACGGUCCCCCUCUCGUCACUUACCACUAGUGGCCAUCACUUCCUUGAGCAAAAGAGAUCUUUCGAAUUGCUUGACCAAAAUAAGAAUUGACUUGGCUGUCCGUCCAUCAAUAACAGGUCCACAUCUCAACCCAAAUAUAAUGACGUCAAAUGAGAAGGAAACUCUGGGGGGUACAGGGAAGGAAAAUGAGAAAAAGGGAAAAGUUGAAGGGGAAGGAGGAAAAUGACAGGAAAUUUCGGAGAAUAGAAAAAAGGAGAAGGGAUAAGAAGGAAAAAUGGGAAGGAAGCUUAGGAGGGUAGAGAAAAAGAGGGAAAUGCAUAAAAAUAAAAAAUAAAAAAGGAAAGUCGCCUUCAUCAUUAUGCCUACUAACGGAAAGGAGCAACCGCAUUGUAAAUUAUAUUUCGUAUAAUGAGAAACCAGUAUUCCUACCCCGAGGAUAUAGACACAACUUGCCGAAUCUCGUUACUAUACAGCAAACAUAUAACUGCACAACAAUUCGAUCAACCACCUUAAGCUCAAUCAUAAAUGUACCAAGAUUCAAGUUUUUCCAAACUUUCCUUAUGAAAUUAACUGAACAUUACAAGUGCCAUAUUAUUAUGCGGUUCUAUCAAGUUUUAAUUUUUGUCUCAUAACCACAUCAUCUUUAGGACAAUCAAUAUUGCAGUUGAAUAUAUAAACCUUCGAUAUGGUGAUAUUGGAAACACUAGUUGGUGGGUUAAUUGGUAGAAAUUGUUCCAACAAUUCAAGGACGAGAAAUGAGUAUUGAGCAACGAUCAAAAUGUGUUGUAUUUUAUCACAAAAGAUGUUUGUGCAAUUAGAAGUACACUAGAAAGUUUGCCCGAUCGUUGCUGCGGGAAUGUCAAAUAUAUUGUAAGUAUUGUAUAUAAAUGUUACAUAAGGGAACAAAUAUGUUGCAAGAAUUGUGUGUAGAAUUUAUAAAACACGUACCAAGUAUUUGCAUAAAAUUUAAAAUAUAUAGUUGUUACUUGUUCAAAUUAUAACAGCUUGUACAAACAUGAGUUUGAAAUUCACCUGCCUUAACUUCUCCACACUUUACACACAGAGACCCUUAUCUUUUUUGGUGGUUUAAAAGCUUGCAAAUCACGGGAGGCUGUCCAUUUUGUUACAAAGAUGCAGAACCAAAAUAUAUAUUUUAUCAAUUUUCGAGAGCAUAAAUGGACAAAUUAAAUUGUAUGUAAAGAAUGUGUAGCAAAAUAUCAAAUAGCAAAAGAAAUCUCAACAUAACUCUACCACAACAAUAAGGAAUCUCAAAUAGAAAAAAGGGAGACUUUGGAUGCGGUCCCUAGUUAUGAAUAGUCUUUGACUGAAACCUUGUUGGUUUUCAAUUUUUGAUCCAAGUCCCUGAAAUUAAUUGAUAAUUUAUUUCUAUGUACGUUACUAUAUUUUUUAAAUUAAAAAUUAAAAUUUAUAGUUGUUUAUAGUAAUGAGAUUUUAAAUAAAAAACCAUAAUUUGUGGGAUUAAAAAUAUUAAAAUAUAAAUAUACUAUUGUGUGUGUGUGUGUAAACAUGGGUACAUUCAUAAAAAAUAACCAAAAAAUUAUUGUAUCAAAACAUGGAUACAUUCUUCUUCAAAAUGGGUACAUUUAGCAAAAAUAAAAAUGGGUACAAAUAAAUAAAAAAAAUAUGGGUACAAUACAAAUAAAACUUUAAAAAAUAUGGGCACAAAAAGAAAUUAAUAUAUGGGUACAAAUUAAAACUGAAAGGAAAAUUGGUACAAAUUAAAAAAGGGUUGCAAAUUAAAAAUGGGUACAAACUAAAAAUAAAAAUAUAUGAUAAAAAAUUUAGCCAUAAAUAUAAAUAUACUAAUUGUAAUAUUUUUAAUAUUAAAUGAAUAUAUUUAGAAAUAAAAAAUAUUUUAUUAUUGAAAUAAUUAAUGAUAUUAUUAAUACAAAGGAUCUUGAUCAAAAAUUGAAAAGUAAUAAGGUUUUAAUCAAUAGAGUAGUAAAAAUAAGGAUGAAAACCUAAUUACUCCUAGAAAAAAUCUACCAACUACCAUACGGAUGAUUUUUAAAUGAAUAAAAGCCUACCCUAUUAUGGAGAGCUUAUACCUUUCACUUGUUUACUGUUCUUGAUGAGUUGCAAAACACAACCAACAAAAGAAAAUCAAACAAACAUCAAAACAAAGGUCAUGCCUGAUAAGAAGGUUUCAUUUAUAAUUAUUUCUAUUUCUACAUAAAUACUAAUAAAUUAAGCUCCCAAUGAUCUGCAUAAACAUUUGCAAGGCCUUCUUUUCCAUCGAUGGAAAUGACUGAAACAGAUUCAACCCAUGUCUUAAUUACAUCAGUUAUGUGUUGAACCACCUAAAUCGACUCAAAUCACUGAAGAAAGGCAAUCAUCAGCGUUCAAGCAAGUGAAGCAAAAAAGAAAAGGUAGGACACAUGAACAUUGUGAUUUUGUACCAUCACCUGGACAGUCUUGCCAACGUAAGGGCAGAGGACAGAAAUGAAUGAACUCAAUUCCAAUACGCUAACCGUUAAAGGUAUAUACGUCAUGACAGUCUUAUGAAUAACCAAAUUAUCUGAAGUUCAAGAUAUUGGAUAGCUACAUACAGAUUUGGAGACAAAACCAACAAAUCCAGGCCAGUAUAGCUUGCGGUGAAUAAUGUUAUCAAUGUUCCAGCAGUGUCACCAAUCUUAAAAACUCCAGCUUGAAUUCCUCCAACAGUAGCUGGGCCAAUGACAACCUGCAAAAGAUACGAUAAUUAAAGUUAAUAUCGCCAGUUCAUUUUCCCAGGUUAGUGAAAUUAAGAUGACUUUGCAUCAAUCGUGUAACCUUGUUGUUUGCCCAUGCAUAUGCGAUCAAUUGCUUAGUGUCUGACUCAGGUACACCUUCAGCAAUGACCGCCACAACUCUAAUGGUUGGUUGCUUGAGAGCAGCCAUGGAAGAAGCGGCAGCACUGCAGAUAUAUCAACAUACAUUCAUCGUUAGGUACAACCAUAGAAGUUUCGCACUCCAAAACACUACUCAUAGAAUAAUCACUGACCUUCUGUACGAAGCAAAGUUGAUUAAGACAUCAGCAGUAGGCUGUGCAGUGCGUGAUGCUUCAAUGUUGCAAUAGUUAUCAACCCAAAGGUCAGACAAUCUCGAAACAACAGAUCAAGAAUGGUAAUCUGACUAAUAACAUGAUUUGAAUAUAUUAGAUAUGGAAAAUUAAGAUUAACCAAGCAUACAUGCAUAUACAUAAUUAUACAAAAGGUGGCUUGCGGCAACGAAAGACGAAAUCUAGGAAGAGGAUGAGAGAAUGGCAACUUACUUUUAAGUGCAUUGGUAUGGCGAUUUCCUUUUGACCGAAAAAUAGCUUCUGAAAUCCCUCAGAACCAGGGUUAAUGAUUCCACCAACUGACGGUGUCUCCCUCCGUAUUACAAACCUCAGUUAUUACAUUUACAUCUUUUUCAAAAACUAAAAACUAUAAGUAAGAUCAAGUUCGAAGUAGGAAAUGAUACACACCGCAAAGGACGUCAAAAUCGAGUUAGAAGCACCUGAUAUAUCUUGCCAGUGGUAAUGUUGUUAUCCCUAGGUCCAAAUCAAUCUACAAUUACAAUUAAAGUUUAAACAAACUCAGCAGCAUAAAGUUUAAAGAUAAGACUCACACUCAACAUGAUACCAAGAUAGAAUCCAAAAAUAAAUUAAAGAUAUGACUAAAAUUAUUUGUUCUAAUCGAACAUAUUUCCUAGUUUUCUUAUCCAAUUAUACAAUUGCAGUUCCUAAAACAAAAAAUAAUUAAAAAGUAAUUUGCAGAAAGAAAAUUAGAAAAUUCGAACUUGACAACAAUCUACCUUAAGAAACCCCAUGACCGAGUAACAGCAACAACAACAUUGAGACAUAAUUUGGUGAAUAUAUAUGGUGGACAAAUUUAACAACUCUAGUACUGUUAACAAAGCUUCAACCAACAACAACAACAACAACAACAACAAAGCCUUUUCCCACUAAGUGGGGUCGGCUAUAUGAAUCCUAGAACGCCAUUGCGCUCGGUUUGUGUCAUGUCCUCCGUUAGAUCCAAGUACUCGAAGUCUUUUCUUAGAGUCUCUUCCAAAGUUUUCCUAGGUCUUCCUCUACCCCUUCGGCCCUGAACCUCUGUCCCGUAGUCACAUCUUCAACCAAUACAACAUAAAUCAAAUCAAUAUAUACCUGCAUAUCCUGAGUCCGAAUUGUACCCUCGUGCCCUGCAAUGCCUUGGUGAGCGACUCCUGCUUAAAAUCCAAACACACAUUUAACUUUAACAACACACAAAAAAUCAAAACUCUCAUCAUUAGAAAACCAAAAGGAAAACUUGAAAUUAUAUACCUGAAGCACAAAUGGUUUGCAAACGCAUAUACAAAAUUUUCAAAAAACAAAGAUCACCGUUUCCUGAAAAUGAAAAGAAAAGCAAAUCAUAGAGCCAAACCGAGAAUCCGAACACAGAAAUAAAAUCCCCAAAGUUAUGAAAACAAAAUUUAAAUGCAACACACAUCUGCAAACGGAAGACCACCCCAAAAAAAAUUAAAUUUUGUUCGACAAAAAGCCCAAAAGAAAAGGUAGAUUUUAUAUACACACCUUGAACACAAAGGGCUUGCAAAGUUGCAUUGAGAGCCCCAAAAUUGGGACAUGAGCGUUUCCUGAAACCAAAUAAGCGCACAUAUCAAACCCCCAAAAUGAAAAAAUAGAAAAUUUAAAGACAAAAUCCAUCUGCAAAUCGAAAACCACCGAAAAAAAUUAAAUCAGAUACACUGGAAAAAACGCAAAACUCACUGGAACAACACUGGCGUGGAAGAGAAAAAAAACUAGGUUCGAAAAUAAGCAGAAGGUGAGAAUGGAGAAAGAGAGAAGCCAGCGGAAAGAAAAAGCUAAGAGCACUAUUCGAUCCGCCAUAUUAAACAGUAACUGCCUUAAAUGAACUUAAAUGAAUAGUAAUUACCAUUAAUGAACGGUAAUUGUCAUUUACAUCUCCACCGUUGGAACCAUCUCCCUAGCAAUAAGCAAUUAAAAUAAUAAUUUUUUUUGUUUGUUUAAAUAAUAAAAAAAAACCCCUCCCUCUCUCUCUAUAACACAAAAAAAAUAAAAAAUUGCAAAGCCCUCGGGCCACAGGCCCGUCGACUCCCUACCCCCCUUCGCUCGGGUUCCCACCAUCGCUCGGCCUCCACACGGCUGGACCUCUCUCCAUCGGGCCUCCGGCCCCUUCUUCUCCACUGUCCCCCGAUGGGUGGAGUUGCUCUAAGAAGAGGUUGGAAACGGAAUAAUAGAAAAGCAUAAAUGAGUACGAAAACACGAAUCUUUGUGUUUUUACGGGAGUAGUAGAAAAUAUUAUUUUUUAAGUUAUAAACUUUAUAAUACACAUAUCUUAUUAUGUAUAUAGUUACACGUGGUGUAAUAUUCCGUGUAACGAUCAUACUGAAAAAUCUCUUGUUAAAUUUAGGGAUGUGAUAUCUACACAUCUUAUUUUACUUCUCACACACCUUUGUAAUUUUCGGCCGUCGGAUCGGAUGAAUUGAAAAAGAUCAGCAAACAAAAAAUAUUAAGGGUGUGUGAGAAGUAAAAUAGGGUGCAUCGAUAGCACAUUUCUAAAUAUUUACAUAGCGACACGUGGUGUACCAUCCCGUGUGACGAUCACACUGAAAAAUCUCUUGUUAAAUUUAGGGGUGUGAUAUCCACACACCCCAUUUUACUUCUCAUACACCUUCUUAAUUUUCGACCAUCAGAUCGGAUGAAUUAAAAAAUAUCAACUAACAAAAAUUAUUAAAGAUGUGAUAAGUAAAAUAGAGUGCGGAUACCUAAAUUUAACAAGAGAUCACAUUUUUCAAUAUUUUUUUGGUCUUCCCACCGUCUACACAUGGGUUUAAAAAAUUAAAAAAGUAUAAAAUUUUUAUUUUUUGUUGUGCCACAAACCAUGUGGCCAGGUUUUAAUCAUUUUUUAAUAAUUUUUUUGUCCUCCCACCAGUUACACAUGGGUUUAAAAAAAGGAUUUGGAUUGUCUGCCCUCCUAGUUGUGAUGCCCUUCUAUUUUGUGCGGUCACGGUUAAAUCAAGUCAAUAUUUUAUAUUUUAAUUAUUUUUUGUCUUAUUAUCUCAUUAAAAAAUUAAUAUAAAAUAUUAACGUAGCUUAACCGUGACCGCACAAAAUAGGAGCGCAUAGAAGGGCACCACAACUAGAAGGGCAGACAAUCCAAGUCCUUAAAAAAAUUUAAGAAUGUAUAAAGUUUUUUGUUUGUUGUGUCACAAACCACGUGGACCGGUUUUAACCACAUUUGUUUAAUAUUUGUUUGUCUGCCCACCGGCUAUAUGUGACUUAAAGAAAUGUUUUUUGGGUCAAUGGAUGGGAACGACCCAUUUUAUAAUUGUUUGUAAAUUUUUCUGGAAGUAGAUGGAAAGGACCCAAUUACAUAUUUCCCCUGCUCACAGACAUUUGCAUUGCACCUAGCAAACACCAGUUUUUUGUUUGAACAUCGAUCCCCUCAUCAAUGGCUCUUGUGAGAACAUAUCCAAGAAUCUCCUCUAAUUCCAACACUUUUCGGAGUUAUCGCUACGACGUGUUCUUGAGCUUCAGAGGCGAAGAAACUCGCAAGACUUUUACCGACCACCUCUACACAGCUUUGAACAACGCAGGAUUUCUUACGUUCCGAGACGACGAUGAACUUGAGAGAGGAGAAGAUAUAAAGCCAGGACUGCAGAAAGCGAUCCAGCAGUCACGAACUUCUAUUGUCGUGUUUUCGAAAGAUUACGCGUCAUCCAGGUGGUGUCUUGAUGAGCUUGUGCUGAUCCUUGAACGCAAGAGGACCACCUCGGACCAUGUAAUUUUACCAGUCUUCUACGAUGUCGAUCCAUCCCACGUGAGGAAGCAGACAGGAAGUGUUGGAAAAGCAUUUGCUAGAAGCCAGAAACAUCAGUCGCUGGAAAAGGUGGAGGGAUGGAGGACGGCACUUGCAGAGAUUGCAGACCUAGCAGGCAUGGUCUUACAAAAUCAAGCAUAUGGGUAACUUUCAUUAUCUCCAUUUCUCUUCUCUUUCUUGGGUCAAUUUGAUGUAUGAUCCGUAGUGACAUAGAUUUUUAUAUAUUUAUUAAUUCAAUCUCAGUAGUGAAUAAUAAUUCCAAUUUAGGUCAACUUAAAGAAAUCACACUCAACUCAACUUAAGGAUUAGUCAUUUUCCAUGUUAUCUACUGGUUUCCAGUUGCUUAAUUUUUUUUGAAAGCUGGUGUGGAAAAAAGUUAGGAUGUGAUCUGUGAUGUAUUUGUCUAUAGUUCGUAUAAAUUAUGCGUUGUAUUCCUUUUUUUUUUCAAAUUAAUUUUGUCAGCAGUCCUAUUUUUUUUCUUAUUUAAACAAAGGCAAUCAACAUAUGUUUUAAUUAUCUAAUUUCCCCAAUUCAUUUUUCAUUUUUCAUUUUGUUUGCAAAUUCUUAGGUACGAGUCAAAGUUUAUCAAAAAAAUUGUUAAAGUGAUAGGAGACAAGUUAAGUCGCACACCAUUGAGUGUUGAACCAAAAUUGAUCGGAAUUCAAUCUCAAGCCGAACGCAUCAAUUUAUGGUUACAAGAUGGAUCAAGUGAUGUUGGUAUAUUUGUUGUGUAUGGCAUGUCUGGAAUAGGGAAGACAACCAUUGCAAAACAUGUUUACAAUUCAAACUUUAGAAGCUUUGAAGGAAGUAGUUUCAUUGAAAAUAUCAAAGAAACAGCAGAUCGACCAAAUGGCUUAGUUCAAAUACAAAUGCAACUUCUUUGUGAUAUUUUGAACGGCAAAGAAGUGAAAAUACACUGUGUUAGUCAGGGAAUAAUUAAGAUUGAAAGGGCCGUAAGCUCUAGAAGAGUUCUACUUGUUCUUGAUGAUGUCGACCAAAUGGACCAAUUGGAUGCAAUCCUAAGGAUGAAAGAUCAGUUUUAUCCAGGAAGUAAGAUACUAAUAACAACUAGGCGUGAAAGGUUGCUAAAGGCAGAUCAAGUUACAGAGGUGCACAAUGUUCAAACUUUGGAUUACAAUGAAUCAUUAAAGCUUUUUAGUUGGCAUGCUUUUGGCCAGGACCAUCCCAUAGAAGAAUACACGGAGCACUCAAAACAGUUAGUGCAACAUAGCGGCGGACUUCCAUUAGCUCUAAAAGUUUUGGGUUCUUCUUUAUCAGGGGAAAGUAUAGGUGUAUGGGAAAGUGCAUUGGAGAAGCUAAAAGUUAUUCCUGAUGGUGAAAUCAUGAAUAAACUAAGAAUAAGCUAUGAAAGUUUAAAAGAUGACCAUGAUCGGAAAUUAUUCCUCCACAUUGCUUGUUUCCUAAUAGGAAGGAACAAAAGCUACAUUGUUAGAAUAUUGGAUGGAUGUGAUUUCUAUACAAUCAUUGGCAUUCAAAAUCUCAUUGAUAGAUGCUUGGUGACACUUGAUGAACACGACAAGGUGAAAAUGCAUGACAUGAUUCGUGCUAUGGGAAGAGAAAUUGUUCGUCAAGAAUCAGAAGAGCCUGAGAAACGUAGUAGAUUAUGGCGCGAUAAGGAUUCUUUCCAAGUAUUGAAGAAAAAGAAUGUAAGAAACAUGCCUUUUAUGUCUAUAUUUGUAUUUCAUCUUGUGAAAAUUAUGCAUAUUAAUGUCUCUUUUUUUUUCCUUUAGGGUACAAAAAAAAUCCAAGGUCUUGUCCUGGAUAUGCGUAACCAUCCUGCAAACAAUCCAAUAAACACAAAUGAGAUAGUCUUGGAAACCAAUGCAUUUGCAAGGAUGUCCAAUUUACAACUACUCCAUCUUAGUCAUGUACGACUGGAUGGAUGUUAUGCAGAUUUCCCUACAGGAUUAAGAUGGUUGUGUUGGCUUGAAUUUCCUUUGGAUUCUAUGCCAAUUGAUUUUCCUUUGGAGAACGUAAUUGUUCUUGAAAUGCAAUACAGUAGCUUGAGACAAGUAUGCAAAGGAACAAAAGUAUGUUACUCCAUGCAUUUCAAUUCAUUUUCCUUAUUUUGUUAGUUUUCUAUUUGUUGACUAACUCCAUGUGUUAAAAUGAACUACUAUGUUUUCUUUAAUUCGAUGACUAAUUUCUUAUAUUAGAUACUUAUUUCAUUGUUCUUUUUUCUUUUUUUAUUUUUUUUCUUCCUCUGUUUCCACAGUUUCUUCCAUCGUUGAAGAUCCUUGACGUCAGCCAUUCUCAUGGCCUUAGUGAAACCAUUGACUUCUCACUUUUCCCCAAUCUAGAGGAACUGAUUCUUGUAGAUUGCACAAGCCUAAAGAAUGUUCACGAAUCCAUUGGAAACAUGGAGAGACUUGUGUACUUGAAUAUGAAGGAUUGCAAGAAUCUUAGUAAGCUUCCGAAGAACAUGUGCAUGCUUAAAUCACUUGAAACACUCAUUUUAUCAAGUUGCUCAAAUCUUGAUGAGUUUCCACAGUUUCUUCCAUCGUUGAAGAUCCUUGACGUCAGCCAUUCUCAUGUUCUUAAUGAAAACAUUGACUUCUCACUUUUCCCCAAUCUAGAGGAACUGAUUCUUAUAGAUUGCACAAGCCUGAAGAAUGUUCAUGAAUCCAUUGGAAACCUGGAGAGACUCGUGUACUUGAAUAUGAAGGAUUGCAAGAAUCUUAGGAUGCUUCCGAAGAACAUAUGCAUGCUUAAAUCACUUGAAACACUCAUUUUAUCUGGUUGCUCAAAUCUUGAUGAGUUUCCAGUGGAGAUGAUGAAGAAGAUGGAGUCUCUGAAAGUUCUCGAGACAGAUGGAAUUCCAAUAAGUGAAUUGGGGCCAGAAAGAAGUUCAACUAUCUUGAGUUCUUUUCCAUGCUCUUUGGUAGAGUUAAGUCUGAAGGGGUGCAAUCUUUCUGAUGAUGUUAUUCCUCCAGAUUUAAGUAAUCUAUCCCACUUGCGAAGACUACAUUUAGAUAAUAAUCCAAUUUGCAGUCUGCCAGGUUUCAUCAAAGGUUUGAGGAGGAUCGAUGAACUCUCUUUUUGGUGUUGUGAUAGGCUCGAAUCGCUUGUGGGGUUGCCAGAAGUACACAAAUGGAUAAGUAUAAUCGGAUGCAUAUCAUUAAAAAAAAUAACUUUUCAUUCCCCUGAGAGAUUGUGUCCAAUACAUUUGGGUUACAACAGGAAUCUUGUUGAGUGGGAAUGCAAUUACAAAAUAGAGCCUAUUGAUAGAGUUGAUGUGGAAAUGAUCAAACUUUUGGGCUUGUGCAACUUGGAAUCCAUGCCAGCUGUUCGAAUGCGUUAUCCACACUCACACAGGGAUCCAAAAGAGGUCCCCGUCCAGGUGCGCCUCUCUUUCUCUCUCUCAUAAGUCUUAAAUAUAUAAUGGGAAAGAAAUGACUGAGUAAUGUUGUGAUGGCUGUGGUAACUACAUAGGGACUGUAUCAACGUGGUAUAUUCAGCACGUUUUUUGUUGGGAAUGAGGUUCCAGGCCGGUUCAGCUAUAUAAGUACCAAGUCCUCGAUAACUUUUAUUGUCCCUUUACUACUUGCUAGUCAUAGAAUUCGAGGCUUGAACAUAUUUGCUACCUAUGCAAAGGAAAAUUCAAAUAAUUAUUCUACUAGACCUAGUAUUGGUCCAAUAAUGAUCAAAGUGAGAAACAAGAGUAAGGGUCAGAAGUGGAUCUAUGCCCCAGAGUUCUAUGGAAUUCCAGGUGAUGGAGAAAAUAUGAUAUGGUUAAGCCAUUGGAAGAUGGAGAAUAAAACAAUAUUACAAUGUGGAGAUGAAGUGGUGGUUUCUGUAAUAACUGGACCACGUGACUUGUUUUGGGUAAAGGAGUUUGGUGUCGAGCUUGUGCAAGAGCACCAAGACAAGAUAAGUACCCAACACAACACCAAAUCAGAUCCUAAUUAUCCACUUGUUAUCGGUGGAGAUUUAAAGACGUGGAAGUGCAGACCGGGGAUAUACUUCCUUGGUCGUUGGACAAGAGAAGAUACUGACGACAUUGAUAUCCUCACGAUGGACUCUGAUGAAGAAGACACAAGUAUGUUGUGUUGUUGUAUUGCAUUGAAUUAUACUCCAUCCAAACACUUCCAUGUGUGUCUGUAUUCAUUUCAAAAACAUUUCCAAUAAAUUUUAUGUUAUUUGUAUGUUUUACAGACAAAGAAGGGCAAGAAGAUGAACCUGAUUACACAAUUGCAAAGAUGAGGACUGCUAGCAAUAACUGCAGCCUAAGAGGUUGGAAGGUGCGCCUCACAGCUGUCGGCUUCUUUUUCACGCUUGCUCUAGUAGGUUGGUCCUCCAUCUCCCAAAAAAAGAAGCGACACUCGUCCACAAGCCCACCAGGAAUUUGUAAUUUGACUUGAUAUAGAUAUAUCUUUGCAUUCCUUGCUCUCAAGAUGUUUUCUACCUUCAAAAUUUCAGGUUCAGAGGUAAGCGCUUUAACCGCUUGAGAUAUAAAAGCCCAUUGCAACUAGAUACUGAAGUUCAAAUGUGUUCAACGCCAUCAAAUAUAGCAUAAAAUACAUCCAGCAUUAGCGAUACUAGCAGAUUAGCUGUAAAUAAGUAAAACAAAAAAAUGCUUCUACACAUGGUAAGGGAAGGACUUUGACUGACAUAGGUAUCUUUAGCAAUAACGGGCAAGAUUUUUUUUUGUUGGGAGGGGUGGGGAUUAUUUCGACACCGGGGAAAACAAAAACAUCCUAUCUGCUUAUAAAUGACAAAGUUACAAAUCUUAAUUGUCGUUUACAACAAAAUCAUUCUUAAAGACUCGGCUCCCCAUUGAAAUUGUGUAAAUUGCAUAAAUAUCAAUACAACAGAUAUUAGAUAGAAUAAUAUAUAUCAAAUAAAUUAACGACAGGCAAUUUCUUAGCCUGAGAUUCAAGGACUUCACAGCUGGUUCAGCCUUGCAUCGCUACUACGCUACUCCAGUCAACUGAUUUAAAAGAGUACCCUGUUUCUCAGCGCAACAUGCACAAAAUCAACACCGGGUAGAAACUAAAAACCACCACCAAAUAAAAGUGAAUUCGACAACGUCAACGUAUUUACUUACCAAAGAUACUACAGGGACAGGUACCGAACGGCGGUGAUUACGAUACUGCUUUCUAUGCUUUCGGACAGAUUCUAACUCCUUGAGAACUCGAUCUAGUAUUACAGGCAUUUUUACAGGCAAAUCAAUUUCAAGGAAGUAUAGGAGGAACCCAUAAUCUUCUCAUGAACAUUGUACCUGCAAAAGCAUAAUGCAAUAAGCAUUCAACAAUCUGACCUAGUUUGCUCAACAGAUGCUCUAAGAUAUUCCAAAACAAAGUCACAGCAAUUUCACAUAGGAUACCAGGUGGGGAGGAUACAAUCAUUAACAAUUUCAAAAGCUUUAAAUGCAAAAAAUCAGUGAACAUAAUCAAAUCCAAUACGUCAAUUUUGGCCUAGAUUGAAAUGAAAAAAAACAAGGAAAUGCUUUGUGUAUCGAUUUGUUUAUGAAGGAAAUAAAACAUAUUUCAUGGAAAUAAAACCUGUGGUUACUUUUGUCUUCCUCUGCCAUUUGUCUAUCGAUUUGUUUCUGAAAGUGGCUAUUCUACAACAUACAGCAUGACAGGUCUUAGUUAGACCAAGUAACCGGCAUGGAAAUGCUUUCUGAAGCAAGAAUAUGAACUCAAGAGCUUUGUGCCAGAGAGACUUCAGAAAAAUGAAAAAAACAACAUAGAAUAUACAACAACAACAACAACAACAAAGCCUUUUCCCACUAAGUGGGGUCGGCUAUAUGAAUCCUAGAACGCCAUUGCGCUCGGUUUUUGUGUCAUGUCCUCCGUUAGAUCCAAGUACUCAAGUCUUUUCUUAGGGUCUCUUCCAAAUUUUUCCUAGGUCUUCCUCUACCCCUUCGGCCCUGAACCUCUGUCCCGUAGUCAUUUUCGAACCGGAGCGUCAGUAGGCCUUCUUUGCACAUGUCCAAACCACCGGAACCGAUUUUCUCUCAUAUUUCCUUCAAUUUUGACUACUCCUACUUUACCUCGAAUAUCCUCAUUCCCAAUCUUAUCCUUUAUCGUGUGCCCAUACAUCCCACGAAGCAUCCUCAUCUCCGCUACACCCAUUUUGUGUACGUGUUGAUGCCUCACCGCCCAACAUUCUGUGCCAUACAACAUCACUGGCCUUAUUGUCGUCCUAUAAAAUUUUCCCUUGAGCUUCAAUGGCCUACGACGGUCACACAACACGCCGGAUGCACUCUUACACUUCAUCCAUCCAGCUUGUAUUCUAUGGUUGAGAUCUCCAUCUAAUUCUCUGUUCUCUUGCAAGAUAGAUCCUAGGUAGCGAAAACGGUCACUUUUUGUGAUCUUCGCUAGAUUGCUCCGGUCAUUAGUGUGGAUAAGUAUAUAAAUGGAUAGAAUUAGGAAAGCAAACACAAGAUGUACGUGGUUCACCCAAAUUGGCUACGUCCACGGAAUAGAGGAGUUCUCAUUAAUUGUGAAUGGUUUACACAAGUACAUAGGUUCAAGCUCUCCUUUAGUGAGUACAAGUGAAUGAUUUAGUACAAAUGACAUUAGGAAAUAUUGUGGGAGAAUGAUCUCGUAACCACGAAACUUCUAAGUACCGGAGUGUGGUAUCGUCUUGACUUGCCUUAUCUGUCUCAUAGGUAGAUGUGGCAUCUUCUCUGGAAGUACUCUUCCUCCAUCCAGGGGUGGUAUCUGUAACUGGUGGAGAUGCACAAGGUAAUGUAUCAAUUUCACUUGAAGCUUACUUGUAGUUUCAGGCUUGGUCAAGCGCGAUACAAACCAUGUAGUAGGAGUCCCCCAAGUCGCCGGGUUAGGGGAUCUGCUGAAAGAGGUGACAGACAAGGUAAGCAAUCAGAGCUCCAGCUGAUUGUUCAUAUUCUCCCUAUCUUGCAGGCAGCAUGAAGGAUAAAGAGAAGAAAAAUGAGAAGAGAUGAUAUGGGAUACUUUUGCUUUUGAAGAAGUAACUUUCCACAGGCUUAUUCUUGAACCGGGCUGCAGGGUUUUCUGGUUUCCUCCAGAGUAUAAGGCCGACUGAAGAAUUUGAGGGUGAAAACAAGUUCAUCAAAUCUAGAGUACGUUCGACCCUGCUGAUAUGGGAUACUUUUGCUUUUGACAGAGUAGUGGAUGUAUCGGCACGUGUGCUGUUACGCUUGUCUCCACAUGCUUCAUUGUAUCCUUCUCACUUGCCCUAUCUGUUCCUCAGGCAGAUCCGGUAUCUUCCCUGGAAGCAUAAGAUGUUGAAGAUGAGUACUCGAGAGCAAUGCCAGGUAAGUAAUCAGGUAAGGGGUUCCAGGCAGUCAGUUCCUGGCUGGAAGCUUGAUUCCAAGUGCUGACUGAUUGCUCUCGUUCUCCUUGUCUUGCAGGUAAGAACAAGGCCAAAGGAAAAGACAGGGAAAAAGCAUGAUAUGGGAUACUCUUACUUUUAACCCUAAUGAUAAGAACAAGGCCAAAGGAAAAGACAGGGAAAAAGCAUGAUAUGGGAUACUCUUACUUUUAACCCUGAUGAUAUGAGAUAUUCUUGCUCUAGUAUAGCUUGUUUACAGAGGUAUUAUCGAGGGGAAAUAAAGCUGAAUAUUUCGAAAGGCUUCGUUGGGAGUGCCCUCUCAGAUAAGAGAAAGGGUUGAGCAUUUUUGCAAGUCUGCCUGUCCGUUAGGGAUGGAGGUCGACAUAUAUAGGAGUCUCCCUAACAUCAAGUAAUAAUGUUAUUCCUUUACCCUGCUUGGUCAUAACACGGUAGUGGGAGCUGCCAGCUUCACAUGUUUUAACUAUGUCAGAGCACUUUGAAAAAGUGGUCUGUGGUAUCUAGAAAGCUGAUGUUGCGUGUGAAGAUUACAGACAAGCUUUAUCCAAGGAGAUCCAGCUUUUGAAGUUGGGAAAGUGGUGCCUCUUCGGUUUUCGAACAAGCAAUCCUGUCGGGGAUCUGGCUCUCGAGAUUCGGAGAACGAUGCCUCUUCGAUUUUUGAGAAAGCGAUCCUGCUGGGGGUCUGGCUCUCGAGAUUCAGAGAGCGGUGUCUCUUCGAUUUUUGAGAAAGUAAUCAUGUUGGGAGUCUGGCUCUCGAGAUUCGGAGGGCGGUGCCUCUUCGAUUUUGGAGCAAGCAAUCUUGUUAGGAGUGUUUUCUCGAAUGUGAGUAAAGGUUGGGCAUGUUUGCUAGUCUACCUUGCCACGAAGCACAGAGGUUGACACACAGGGACUUUCCAAUUAUCCAGCAGUGGUACUGUUCCUUUACCCUCUCUUCGAUUUUUGAGAAAGUAAUCAUGUUGGGAGUCUGGCUCUCGAGAUUCGGAGGGCGGUGCCUCUUCGAUUUUGGAGCAAGCAAUCUUGUUGGGAGUGUUUUCUCGAAUGUGAGUAAAGGUUGGGCAUGUUUGCUAGUCUACCUUGCCACGAAGCACAAAGGUUGACACACAUGGACUUUCCAAUUAUCCAGCAGUGGUACUGUUCCUUUACCCUCUCUUCGAUUUUUGAGAAAGUAAUCAUGUUGGGAGUCUGGCUCUCGAGAUUCGGAGGGCGGUGCCUCUUCGAUUUUGGAGCAAGCAAUCCUGUUGGAAGUGUUUUCUUGAAUGUGAGUAAAGGUUGGCAUGUUUGCUAGACUACCUUGCCACGAAGCACAGAGGUUGACACACCGGGACUUUCCAAUUAUCCAGCAGUGGUACUGUUCCUUUACCCUUGUGGGUAAUAAUAUGGUAGCUAGACCUUCAAAAUUUGUGUCUAAACUUUGUUAGUGUUGUUUCUUUGUAAUUCUUUUACCCUUCUUGGUCAGAGCGAUGUAGCGGGAGCUGCAAGCUUCACGUGUCUCAACUUUGUCAGAGAACUUUGGCAAAGUUAUCUGUGGUACCCAUGAGUUACUGUUGCGUAUGGGAAGUGGGUGAUUGAACAGUACAAUUCAUGUGCUUUCUACUUCGCCAGAAAUCUUCGACAGAAUGCCCAUAAUUUCCGCAAAGCUGAGUGUGCGUGUGACAGGUGCUGACAAGGCUGGAAAAGUAUGUGCCUCUUCGAUUUCUAAGAUCGGCCUUCGUGGUCUCUUAGCAGCCCAGCUUUUGAGAAAGCAAGCCUCUUCGAUUUCUGAUAUCGGCCUUCGUGGUCUUUGAGCAGCCCAGCUUUUGAGAAAGCAAACGCCUCUUCGAUUUCUGAGAUCGACCCUCGUGGUCUCUGAGCAGCCCAGCUUUUGAGAAAGCAAACGCCUCUUUGAUUUCUGAGCAGGCGCCUCUUCGAUUUCUGAAGCUUCGUCGAGUGCAGAUUUUUAUAGGGGCUGACAUUAAGUUCCAAAGCACACUUGAAUAUCCACCAGUAGAAGCUCCAUUCUUGUACUUCUAAGAUCUUGAUUUGUCCGACCUCUUCUCUCUUCAACACCUUUGAAAAUGUCUGGCCCCUCCGACCGUCGUUUUGACUUGAACCUUGUUGAAGAGGCAGCCCCGCCUUCUCCAGACAACAUAUGGCGCCCAUCCUUCGUCUCCCCUACUGGUCCUCUUACCGUUGGGGAUUCCGUGAUGAAGAAUGGUAUGACCGCUGCGGUAGUGGCCAGGAACCUUCUCACUCCCAAAGAUAACAGACUACUUUCCAAACGGUUUGAUGAGUUGGCUGUUAAGGAUUCUCUGGCUCUCAGUGUUCAGUGUGCAGGUUCUGUGUCUAAUAUGGCCCAACGCCUAUUUGCUCGAACCCGCCAAGUUGAAUCAUUGGCGGUUGAAGUGAUGAGUCUUAAACAGGAGAUUAGAGGGCUCAAGCAUGAGAAUAAACAGUUGCACCGGCUCGCACAUGACUAUGCUACAAACAUGAAGAUGAAGCUUGACCAGAUGAAGGAAUCUGAUGGUCAGGUUUUACUUGAUCAUCAGAGAUUUGUGGGUUUGUUCCAAAGGCAUUUAUUGCCUUCGUCUUCUGGGGCUGUACCGCGUAAUGAAGCUCCAAAUGAUCAACCUCUGAUGCCUUCUCCUUCUAGGGUUUUGUCCAGUACUGAGGCUCCGAAUGAUCCCCCUCCGGUGCCUUCUCUUUCUGGGGCUCUACCGACUGUUGAGACUUCUCCUAAGCAACCUUUGUGAAGGCUCCCUCUUGUUUGUUUAUUUUGACUCAAGUAUAUGUACAUAUUUGUAACUUAUCGGGGAUAUCAAUAAAUAAGCUUUCCUUCAUUUCAACGUAUUGUGUUAAAUACACCAAAGCCUUCUUCGCUAAGUUCUUUGAAUUUUCUUUUGUUGAAGCUUGUAUGUUGAAGCUUUGUGAGUGGAGCAUGUAGGUUGAGGUAGUGUUCCCUUAAUUUCCUGAGUGAGGAAAACUUCUCGGUUGGAGACUUAGAAAAUCCAAGUCACUGAGUGGGAUCGGCUAUAUGAAUCUUAGAACGCCAUUGUGUUCUGUCCUGUGUCAUGUCCUCCGUUAGAUCCAAGUACUCUAAGUCUUUUCUUAGGGUCUCUUCCAAAGUUUUCCUAGGUCUUCCUCUACCCCUUCGGCCCUGAACCUUUGUCCUAUAGUCGCAUCUUCUAAUCGGAGCGUCAGUAGGCCUUCUUUGCACAUGUCCAAACCACCGUAACCGAUUUUCUCUCAUCUUUCCUUCAAUUUCGGCUACUCCUACUUUACCCCGGAUAUCCUCAUUCCUAAUCUUAUCCUUUCUCGUGUGCCCACACAUCCAACGAAGCAUCCUCAUCUCCGCUACACCCAUUUUGUGUACGUGUUGAUGCUUCACCGCCCAACAUUCUGUGCCAUACAGCAUCGCCGGCCUUAUUGCCGUCCUAUAAAAUUUUCCCUUGAGCUUCAGUGGCAUACGGCGGUCACACAACACGCCGGAUGCACUCUUCCACUUCAUCCAUCCAGCUUGUAUUUCUAUGGUUGAGAUCUCCAUCUAAUUCUCCGUUCUUUUUGCAAGAUAGAUCCUAGGUAACGAAAACGGUCGCUCUUUGGUAUUUCUUGAUCUCCGAUCAUCACCCUUAACUCGUUUUGGCCUCCAUUUGCACUAAACUUGCACUCCAUAUAUUCUGUCUUUGAUCGGCUUAGGCGAAGACCUUUAGAUUCCAACACUUCUCUCCAAAGGUUAAGCUUUGCAUUUACCCCUUCCUGAGUUUCAUCUAUCAACAUUAUAUCGUCUGCGAAAAGCAUACACCAAGGAAUAUCAUCUUGAAUAUGUCAUGUUAACUCAUCCAUUACCAACGCAAAAAGGUAAGGACUUAAGGAUGAGCCUUGAUGUAAUCCUACAGUUAUGGGAAAGCUUUCGGUUUGUCCUUCAUGAGUUCUUACGGCAGUCUUUGCUCCUUCAUACAUAUCCUGUAUAGCUUGGAUAUAUGCUACUCGUACUCCUUUCUUCUCUAAAAUCCUCCAAAGAAUGUCUCUUGGGACCCUAUCAUACGCUUUUUCCAAAUCUAUAAAGACCAUGUGUAAAUCAUUUUUCCCAUCUCUAUAUCUUUCCAUCAAUCUUCGUAAGAGAUAGAUUGCCUCCAUGGUUGAGCGCCCUGGCAUGAACCCGAAUUGGUUGUCCGAAACCCGUGUCUCUUGCCUCAAUCUAUGCUCAAUGACUCUCUCCCAAAGCUUCAUUGUAUGACUCAUUAGCUUAAUACCCCUAUAGUUCAUGCAAUUUUGUACAUCGCCCUUAUUCUUGUAGAUAGGCACCAAAGUGCUCAUUCGCCACUCAUUUGGCAUCUUCUUCGUUUUCAAAAUCCUAUUGAAAAGGUCAGUGAGCCAUGUUAUACCUGUCUCUCCCAAAACUUUCCACACUUCGAUUGGUAUAUCGUCUGGGCCUACUGCUUUUCUAUGCUUCAUCUUCUUCAAAGCUACAACCACUUAUUCCUUCCGGAUUCUACGAUAAAAAGAGUAGUUUCGACACUCUUCUGAGUUACUCAACUCCCCUAAAGAAGCACUCCUUUCAUGUCCUUCAUUGAAAAGAUUAUGAAAAUAACAUUUCCAUCUGUCUUUAACCGCGUUCUCUGUAGCAAGAACAUUUCCAUCCUCAUCCUUGAUGCACCUCACUUGGUUUAGAUCCCUUGUCUUCUUUUCCCCUGCUCUAGCUAGUUUAUAGAUAUCCAACUCUCCUUCUUUGGUAUCUAGUCGCUUAUACAUAUCGUCAUAAGCCGCUAACUUAGCUUCUCUCAGCUUUCUUCGCCUCUUGCUUCGCUUUUCUAUACCUUUCACCAUUUUCAUCGGUCAUAUCCUUGUAUAAGGCUUUACAACAUUCCUUCUUAGCCUUCACCUUUGUUUGUACCUCUUCAUUCCACCACCAAGAUUCCUUUUGGUGUGGGGCAAAGCCCUUGGACUCUCCUAAUACCUCUUUUGCUACUUUUCGGAUACAACUAGCCAUGGAAUCCCACAUUUGGUUAGAUUCCCCCUCUCUAUCCCACACACACUGGGUGAUUACUUUCUCUUUGAAAAUGACUUGUUUUUCUUCUUUUAGAUUCCACCAUCUAGUCCUUGGGCACUUCCAAGUCUUGUUCUUUUUUCUCACUCUUUUGAUAUGUACAUCCAUCACCAAUAAGCGAUGUUGAUUAGCCACGCUCUCUCCUGGUAUAACAAGCCAAUAAAACAAUAAUUCACUGUAUAAAUCAUUUUUUCAACUUUAAAGUGUGGCUUAAAAAGAAGCUUUAAACAAGUAGCAAUAAUUUCAUAUUGAAAAAUAAAACCUAUUUCAUGGAUAUUACAAGAGCCAUUAUUUUGAAAAACACACAUUUUGGUUCUUCGCUGCUUGACUUUUAAGAAGAUCUUUGUCCUUGUGACGAUUCAAAUUCUUUAAAAUAUCUCUGCAACGGAAUAAACAAAACCAAUCUAGGCCAAAAUUGACUUGUUCGAUUUGAUUAUGUUCAUUGAUUUUUCUGUUCACAUGUUUACCCCUACUUGCCAUAUAGUUUUGGGGUGUUAGCGCAUAGUGCUCUUCUCUUUACACACCAGUUUUAAUUUUAUUCUUCGUAAAUUAAGAGACCGUUUGAUAAUCAUUUCGUUUUCAAUUUAAAAAAAUAUAAAAAACUAAAUGAAGUUUUCAAAAUUUGACCUAGAAUUUUCGCUUUUGGUUUUCAAUUUUAAUUUUUUUAAAAACAACUGAAAACUAAAAAUAGUUACAAAAAGAAUUUUUCAGUUUUUAAUUUACAAAAAAGUAAAAACUGAAAACUCUAUACUAGACUAAAAAUUAAAAAGUGAAAUCGAAAUGGGCUCUCAACAAAAUUGAAAAAAGACUCGGCUGAAUUACUGAAUUCAAAGCAGGGCUUAUUAACGUUACGAGGCCCAAUGGAUCUAUAUAAAUAUUUUUCGUUUUUUUUUUUUAACAAACGAUAUUAUUUAUAUAGGCUUAAUCUUACCGUAGGCUAACAAUAAUGUGGUUCAAAUUUGUUUUUCGUAAGAAUCGAACUUAAAACUUCUCAUUUACAAAUGAAGACAAAAUCCACUAAACUGUAGUCUUGAGUGGCUCGUUAUUUUAUUUUAUAUUUUAAGAAAAAAGAAAGAAAGCAAUGAAAAGCUGUACAUAAAAUAAAUACAAAAAGGGAUGAAAUGAAGAAGAGUGGGAGACUAACGUUUAAUUCAAGAUAAAGAAAGAAAGGUAAUCGCACCACGACGGCGGCGACGUGGCGGUCAUUUAACGGAAAAUAACAGACAAAUCAGCCUCCAGAUCAAGUCUUGAAGCACAACUCUGAAAAAUCGAGACUACCUACAGCUGAGCUCCGACCAACCGUUGAUGGAUGCAAUCAGGAAGCUCAGAGAUCAGGUCGCCAAGCAACAGCAGGUACUCCCUCUCGUUUGAUUCCGAAUUUGUAUUUCUGUAUGGAUUUUGAUAUGAACAUAAUCUGCGUUGAUUGCGAGAUACUGAGAUUGCUUAAUGAAAUAAUAUUUAUAUAAUUAUUCGAGUUGAAUUGGAUCGAUUCGAAUUCAAAUAGAAUUUCACUAAUUCUGAGCUGUUUGGGGAUGUGUUGGAGUGCAAUGUUGAUGAAUUUCUGAAAUUUUGAGCUAGGUGUUGCUAAUUACUUAUCGAUUUUUGAUGUAACUGGAUGCUUAAUUUUUACAUUUUCGGAAAACUUGAAGCGAAAAUGGCAUAUAAUUCAACGUUCCAUGCUUCAUUAAUGCAUAUGAGUUAGUCGAAGCUUUAUCGAGUUUGCUUUUGAUUAUUUUGUGAACACCGUCAGGCUGUGUUCAAACAAUUUUCUGGUGGCAUAUAUGGGGGAUCGGAUAAUGUUGCCUCGGAUGAAAAUGAAUUUCAACAGCAUCAGAAACUCGAGAAGCUGUACAUAUCAACUCGUGCUGCCAAGGUUGCUACGCUUAUUUUUGUCUGUGCUUUAAACGAGCAUCACGUUAGUUGUGUUACCUAUCGUUUUUUGCUUCUUCUUUAACAGCAUUACCAAAAGGAAAUUGUCCGCGGAGUGGAAGGUUACAUUGUGGCCGGUUCAAAGCACGUUGAAAUAGGUAUGUUGCUUGAAAUGCGUUGUCUUUUCUUGGGAGUUUGGAUAUGAAUUCAUGUUGGUUUUAUCAGUUGGUAUACAUAAUACUUUUUCAACAGGUACCAAGCUAUCAGAAGAUAGCAGGAAAUAUGGUUCUGAAAAGACUUGCACCGGUGGUAACACAUUGUCGAGAGCUGCACUGAGUUUUGGAAGAGCUCGGGCCCAAAUGGAAAGAGAGUGCGGAGUUCUACUGAAAGCCCUUGGCACACAGGUUUAAGUCAAAUUAUUACUAUACAAUGGCUCAUUAAGUAAAAAUCAAAUAUUGCCAGGGCCGGUUUCAUACAAAUGGAAUUUCAACCUACUAAUUUUCGUGUGCAUUUGAUCAUUUCGAAAGAAAUUUACAGUAAAAAUUGUUUCCAUUUUCACGUGUGGUUCAAGAACUGCACUACUUUUUGUGUUAUUAUGCAUCAUAUAAGAGGUCGCACUUGGUGCGAUGGCAAGUGCCUUCGCCCAUGAGCGGUAGGUCUCGGGUUCGAGACUUGGGAGCAGCCUCUCCAUAAAUGGGGGUAAGGUUAGCCGACAUUCACCUCUCCCAGACCCUGCGUAAAGCGGGAGGCUUGUGCACUGGGUACGACCUUUAUGCAUCAUAUGACAAACUGGUUCACCAUUUCUUUCUAUAGGUUUGCAUAAUAACUCUUUCUGUGCUUAUCAAUUUGCCUGUGUAGGUUGUGUUAGGUUUUUGGCUCAAAAUUAGGAUGAUGCAAUAAAUUAGGUUUCUGUUAACUAUUUGGUUUUGGUGUUCUAUUUGGGUUUGGUUUUGACUUCUUAGUUAGUUUCCUUGGUGGAGAGAUUUUGUUAAUUACCUAUUUGAUUUGGAUUUGGAUUUAUUUCAUAUUAGGAUUCUUAUUGUAACCUAAGUCCUAUGCACUAUAAAUAGGACCUUAGGGUUAGUGUAUUUAGUGUGCUUCAUCAUGGUUUAGAGAGCUUUUCUCUAUUUUGGUUUUGGGUGGAGGUCACCGUUUGGAGUCACGAGCGUGGCAAAUUCAUGGCUCAUUCGUUUGGCAAAUUUGGUGAGAGUCAAUUUGUGAGUUUGUGAGUUAGAAAGCAAUUUGGGAGAAUCUUCUCCGUUUGUUUUGAGUUCUCUACUCGUUUGGUUUAGGGUUUGUAAUUUGUGGGAUUUAGGUUGUGAGAGUUUAAACACUCUUUUGUAAUCUCCAUUUGUUUAGUGAAAUUCCUUGCCGUGCUUCGCCCGUGGAGUAGGCUUUACGCCGAACCAUGUAAAUCUCGUGUUAGUUUGAGAUUGUUUGUUUUAGCUUUCACCUAUGACGUUGAUAUUUGGUACUUUGUUAUAAUUCGCUUCCGUUUGCGCAUAAAAGUACAACAAGUGGUAUCAGAGCCCAGGUUUCGGCUUGGGCUUUGCUUAGCAGUCACUCUGAAGCCUUCUGUGUUGAUAUUGAAAAGUUCGAAGGUAAUGACUUUGGUAUUUGGCAAUUGAAGAUGCGUGCUUUGGUAGUUCAAGGAAGGAAUAAGGAAAAGAGCAAACUUGGAAAGAACACUUGUAGCUAUUGUUAUAAGGAAGGCCAUUGGAAAGUAGAUUGCCCUAAACUCAAGGGCAAAAACAAGCCGUUUGAUAAGUCUUUUGCUAAUGUUGAUGCAAACAUUGCAGAAGAUCAUUGUUCUGAACUCCUCUAAAUGUUAUGUGAGGAGGUGGAGCUUGGUACUCAAGCUCUUUGGGUGGAGUGCAAUUCGCACUUUUUGUUCAUAUGUUCAAGCUUUUGCUUGGAUUUUGUUUCGUAUUUGUUAGUUUCCAUAAUGGAAUUUGUUGGAGAAGGCAUUGGAGGAAAUUUCAAGUUUGAAGACUUUUGGAUUUUUUGAGUCUAGGUGGAGAUCAGUUUCAAAAGAAUUUGGUGCACGUUUGCGUUUGUAUUUUGGUAUCCCAAAUUUGGAAGUUUGCUAAUUUCUCGCCGAGGUGGAGAUUGUUAGGUUUUUGGCUCAAAAUUAGGAUGAUGCAAUAAAUUAGGUUUCUGUUACCUAUUUGGUUUUGGUGUCCUAUUUGGGUUGGGUUUUGACUUUUUAGUUAGUUUCCUUGGUGGAGAGAUUUGUUAAUUACCUAUUUGAUUUGGAUUUGGAUUUAUUUCCUAUUAGGAUUCUUAUUGUAACCUAAGUCCUAUGCACUAUAAAUAGGACCUUAGGGUUAGUGUAUUUAGUGUGCCUCAUCAUGGUUUAGAGAGCUUUUCUCUAUUUUGGUUUUGGGUGGAGGUCACCGUUUGAAGUCAUGAGUGUGUGGCAAAUUCAUGGCUCAUUCGUUUGGCAAAUUUGGUGAGAGUCAAUUUGUGAGUUUGUGAGUUAGAAAGCAAUUUGGGAGAAUCUUCUCCGUUUGUUUUGAGUUCUCUACUCUUUUGGUUUAGGGUUUGUAAUUUGUGGGAUUUGGGUUGUGAGAGUUUAAACACUCUUUUGCAAUCUCCGUUUGUUUAGUGAAAUUCCUUGCCGUGCUUUGCCCGUGAAGUAGGCUUUAUGCCGAACCACGUAAAUCUCUUGUGUUAGUUUGAGAUUGUUUGUUUUAGCUUUCACCUAUGACGUUGAUAUUUGGUACUUUGUUAUAAUUCGCUUCCGUUUGCGCAUAAAAGUACAACAGGUUGCAGAGCCUUUAAGAGCAAUGAUAGUGGGAACACCCUUGGAGGAUGCUCGACAUCUAACUCAACGAUAUGCUAGAAUGCGGCAAGAAGCUGAAGCUCAGGUAUAUGCAGUUUCUUCUGUUUCCUACCAAUUUUAUACUACAGUGAUUUUACAUGUUACAUGGUGAUCAUACAUUUCUCGGUUAACUUUUUUUGUUUUCUUUUAAAAGUGUUUGUUCAUUUUGAGACAAUCAUGCAUUGGUAUUUAUAGAGAACGCAAAAUCUUAAGAUGUUUAAUGUAACUUGUUGAGAUUGCUUCAUUACUUGAAGCUUUGUUGUAAUUUGGUUUUUGUUUUUUUUUUAUUACUCCUUCAGAUUUGUCUAUAUAUACUAACUUGCACCGGGAUAGGCUAUAGAUGUUUCCAGACGCCAGGCCAAAGUACGGGAUUCUGCAGGUAAUGCUGACAUUAUCAUGAAACUAGAAGCUGCUGAAGCCAAGCUUCAGGAGCUGCAGUCUAGCGUUGCAAUAUUGGGAAAAGAAGCUAGUGCAGCUAUGGCUGCUGUUGAAGGUCAACAACAAAGAUUGACUCUUCAGCGGCUUCUUGCGAUGGUAAAGGAUUGCCUUCUCCUUUUUAUUUAAGUGUUAAGACCUUGGCCUGUUCUAGUUACAAGACUGAAAAGGAAAUUAAUUUUGUAAAUUUGUGAUUUUUCGUCCCCAUUCAAGGUUGAAGGAGAACGCAACUAUCAUCAGAACGUUCUUUAGAUACUUGAUCAGCUUGAAGGCGAGGUAUGAAAUAUCCUAAAGUCUUCCUUUCAGCAUGACAAUUUCUUUUCCCAAUUCAUUUGGCUGUAUAUUAUUCUAGUGUCUUGCUACUAAAAGCAGAGAUCAUUGACAGUAUUUGUUGGGACAGAUUUUAUCAGAAAAGCAGCGAAUUGAAGCAUCGCAUAGUCCGCCUACCGAGGACACUAUGCCUCCACCACCAUCGUAUGAGGAUCUCGGCCGUAGCUUUGCUUCUGAAACCUGUGAUGAAUUGACAGAGUUGAGGGACUCUUCUCUUUCUUAGGAGAGGUAUCUUUAUGCUAUUGUUGUUGUAUCCAAGUUUUAGUCUGUUCGACUCUUUAGUUUCUAGUAACUGUUUCUUUUCGCCUACCGCAGGUUAUUUACACCUUCCACGCUGUAACUGAUGUGGAGUUAAGUUUGUCAUUCGGGAAUUACGUUGUCGUCCGGAAGGUUCUGUCGUCUUUCCUGCUUGCAUGCUUUCAUCUUAUAUUCAUGUUCGGAUUUAUUUCUUUCGUAUUGAGGUUAAAUUUUCAUGUUCAAAGACGUUCACUCAGGUAUGUUCGUCAAUGCAUAGGCAUUAGCACACCACCGAGUGCAUUAGAAUAUGGAUUUCAGUUUUGGGUGCUGCAUGCAUUAAUGUAGUUUGUCUGGUUUUGGUUAUUGCUGCCGCUGAGCAUGAGUGGCUUUCUGUAGUUGCUGAGAGUUAUAUUGUGAGCAUAAUUCAUACAGCAGCUUUCAUAUACGGCACAUGUAGUCGGCAGCACUGCAUUUAGAAAGAGAAAGUUAUAUUUUCUUCACUGUUUAUUGAAAACUUAUAUGUUGCAUGUUCUGACUUUUAAAGUGAGUCGGCAUCAGAGUUUUUAUUUGAGAAAAAUCAGUUUUGUGUCCAUGUGUUUUCAAAGAAAAUAUUUUAGUUUUUAAUCACUGAUUUUUCAUUGUGCUUCAAUUAGAAAUCAAUUAUGAGAAUGUGCCUUGUGAUUUUCGUAAUUGGUUGAUUUCAAAAAAUCUUUACAUUUCAUACAUUCUGCAUGAUCACAUUAGGAUCUUGCAAAGUUCAAGGACACAGUGAUUGACUGUCGCGUUAGUGUCGUGCCACUUUCACUUGAAAGCUGAAGAGAGAUCGAGUAGCAAAGCUCAAUGAAAAAAAUUGCCUACUAGUAUGUGGGUCUAGUUAAUGAGUUUUGUAAGUCUUUCUAUACUCAUUUGUCCUGGCUUAAGAGUUUGAGGAUUUUCUCAGUGAUGAGUUUUACCUUGUUAAAUCCUACAUCAUGUGUACACAUGUUAUUUGUCUUUUUAAUUGCAAAUGUGUAGGAUAAUCUUUCACUUAUUUUCUUGUAGUGAACUCUAUCUUAGACAUUCAUCAACAUUUAGAGUUUACGACAGAGGACUUUGCUACCAUAUUAUCAGUGCAUUGAUUAAUUUGUAAAGCGCCCAUUUAUCCUAAUUAUAAAAUAUAUCCUAAUUAUAAAAUAUAAUCUGUACAAGACAUUAACAGUUUGGAUGUCAUGUAUGGCCACAUCCUUUAUUUUCAGAAUAAUGCUAUUCAUACCAUGUUUUUAUAUCAUAUUUAUAUACCACUUUAAGUGGCAUCUGAUGUAAACAACCACAUCAUUUGAAAAAUUUGCAAAACCCAAGGAAAGGAAAGAGAAAGACUCUUUGUAUACCAUAAUCGUCAUUUAAUUAACUAAUUUUUCUUAAUUAUUAGUUUAUUAAAUAAUGAACUAAAUUUAAAAAUCUGAUUAAUUCAAAUUAUGUGUCAGUUCACAUCACAUCAAAUGCCACCGAAAAUGGUAUGAAAAUGUUGUAUAAAAAUAUGGUAUGAAUAACAUUACUCUUAUUUCCACCAUUCUUAUCAACUGGAUGGGGAUAGAUUGUCUUUAUCUCACAAACCCAUAAUGUGGCAAUCGUCCAUUAGAAAGGUAAUGUACGUUUUGAAAAUCGUGGUAAAUAUUGAAUGAGUAAUGACGCCUCUAAAAAUAAAAUUUAGUUAUUUGAAAGAAUCUUUCAUAAAAUAAAGUAACGAAUAAUCAACAAAAGUAGCAGUACACCAAGUUGAAUCCUUUUCAACGUUGAAAUGAAAUAUGAAAGUAGAUCAAGUUUAUAUUAUUCAUCUACUUUUUAUUUUAUUUUAAUAAACGAUAUUAUCUACACUAAAGAGAUAGAGUUGGUUAAGCCUCACAAUGGACUAGCAAUAAUAUGGUUCAAAUUCACAUUUGACGAGAAUCAAACCAAGUGAAGAGAAAUAUCAUUAGACCGUAACAUUAUUCAUCAACUUUUAAAUUCAUCCACUUUUAAAUAAUAAACAAUCAAGAAAAACAUUGCACGCGGUCCCCUCUCGUCACUUACCACUAGUGCCAUCACUUACCUGAGCAAAAGAGAUAUUUCUAAUUGCUUGACCCAAACAAGCAUUGAGUUCAUCCAUCAAUAACAGGUCCACAUCUCAACCCAAAUAUAAUAACGUCAAAGGAGAGGGGAAAAUGAGAAGGAAACUCUGGAGGGUAGAGGGAAGGAAAAGGAGAAAAGGACAAAGGAGAAAAGGACAAAGGGAGAAGGGAAAAGUAGAAAGGGAAGGAGGACCACAGUAGAAAAUAUCGAUAAUAUCGGUGAAAUAUCGCCGAUAUUAUCGUUUUUUUGGGACCCCGAUAUUUUAGUAACUAUCCAACUUGUUUUCGGCAGAAUAUCGCGAUAUUAUCGAUAAUAUCGAUAAUAUCGCGAUAUUUUCGAAACUAUCGCGAUAUUUGGUAUGGACUCAUCGGAGAACACGGCCGGAGCAAAUAAUCCGAAACCCUAAAUCCCCAAAUGCUAAAUCAAAGCAAAUGAACUGAAUCUACAAUACAGGAUUCCGAGAAGAACGAUUUCAGUACAAAAUUCAACAUGUUUACAAGCCGAGAAGAACGAUUUCAGUACAAAAUUCAAAGCAAAUGAACCGAUUCCCUAAAUCCCCAAAUUCGGAUUCAAAGCAACUGAACUAAAUCCCUAAUUCCUAAAUCCCUAAAAUCUAUUUCAGUACAAAAAUCAAGCAACAUGCAGAUAAAUCGCAAUCUGUACAAAAAUAGAAACCCUAAUUCCUAAAUCCCUAAAAUCAAUUUCAGUACAACAAAGGUGCAACAUGCAGAAAAAUUGAAAUCUGUACAAAAAUUUAAAGUAAUAGAGGGGAAGAAGAGAAGUAGGAGCCUGGAACAUCGUCUUCCUCACGAAUCCAAGACGGCUGGGACAAGUUCGUGCUCCUCAGUGGUGUCGACGGCUUGGACUACGGAGACAGAGGGAGACACGGAGACACGGACGGUUAUGGAGUGGUGUCGACGGCUGGGUUUAGGGCGGGUGAGAUAGGAGGAGCAGAGGGAGACAGGGAGACACGGAGACACGGACGAGGAGGAUCGAGAUUUGAGAGAUGAUGUCUCUGUGUGUGUGUGGAAGAACUGGAGAAGGGGGAAGGGAGGGAGAAGACUGAGAACUUCUCGGUGAGAACGAAGGCUCAGACCGACCUCAGAGAGAAAAGAGAGAAGAGAGAGACUGAGAGGAUUCGAGAAUAUGGUAGUGGAGUGGGAAAUGAAAGAUCGAGAGAGAGACCUCCGUGUGUGGUGUACGUGUGUGGUGUGCGUGUGUGGUGUGGUGGGGGGGUCUCGAAGUGUGUGUGUGGUGGAGUGUGAGUUCUUCAGUCUUUUUGACUGUCUGAGUGAUGGUGUCUAAGAAAAAAAAAGCAUCCAAUGCUCCAAAUUAUUCAAAACCAAAUCAUUCCAAACCUAUGUCUACCUCUCUGAUCCAAUGAUCCAAAGAACUUUUUUGCAAUUUCAGAACAUGCACAACAAAUACUACUGCUUUAAUAAUGAAAGCGUGUGACAGUCUUUCACAUGCAAAACAGUGUCAAUGUCUGUUAUAUACUUACAUUCUUUCAUCAUCAGAGGCAUUCACCGAAUUUUAACUUACAUUCUUCUUCCCAUACCAUUUUCAAAACCAUUCCAGAUCCUUUCCAAAGCCAAGCAACACAAAGGCUUCCAUAUUUAAGGUAAGUUUACAAACUUAAAUUUAUAUUAUUGUAAUUUAUAUACAAAAACAAAUAAAUUUGUGUGCACUCGUAUGUUAAUUUUUUUAAGUAAUUACUUGCAUGUUAAUUAUGUUAAUUUUUGUAAGUAAUUAAGUAAUGUUAAUAUUAAUUGUUUUAAGUAAUUAAGUAAUGUUGUAUAAUUAUUCCCUAGGAUAAUUUUAAUAUGUUUAAUAUUAUUUAUUAUUUUAUUUCUCUUACCAUCUUCAUUAUCAAAUUGGAUUAUUAUUCAUUAAUAUUAGGUUUUUUUAUUAUCAAAUUGGAUUAUUAUUCUUUAAUAUUAGAUUUUUUUAUUAUCAAAUUGGAUUAUUAUUCUUUUAUAUUAGGUUUUUUUAUUAUCAAAUUGGAUUAUUAUUCUUUUAUAUUAGGAAUUUUUUUAUCAAAUUGGUGGAUUAUUCAUUAAAUUUGAUUAUUAUCAAAUUGGAUUAUUAUUCAUCACCAUGUUUUAUAUUAGGAUAAUUUUUUUAUCAAAUUGGUGGAUUAUUCAUUAAAUUGGAUUAUUAUCAAAUUUGGAAUAUUAUUCAUCACCAUGUUUUAUAUUAGGAUAAUUUUUUUAUCAAAUUGGAUUAUUUCAUUAAAUUGGAUUAUUAUCAAAUUGGAUUAUUAUUCAUCACCAUGUUUUAUAUUAGGAUAAUUUUUUUUAUCAAAUUGGUGGAUUAUUCAUUAAAUUGGAUUAUUAUCAAAUUGGAUUAUUAUUCAUCACCAUGUUUUAUAUUAGGAUAAUUUUUUUAUCAAAUUGGUGGAUUAUUCAUUAAAUUGGAUUAUUAUCAAAUUGGAUUAUUAUUUAUCAAAUUGGAUUAUUAUUCAUCACCAUGUUUUAAUUUAGGAUAAUUUUUUUAUCAAAUUGGUGGAUUAUUCAUUAAAUUGGAUUAUUAUCAAAUUGGAUUAUUAUUCAUCACCAUGUUUUAUAUUAGGAUUUUUUUUUAUCAAAUUGGAUUAUUAUUCAUUAAAUUGAAUUAUUAUCAAAUUGGAUUAUUAUUCAUUAAUAUUAGGUUUUAUUAUUCCAUAUUAUUUGUAUAAUUACUUAACUUUUUACAAUCAUUUUCUUUACUUUGUAUUUAAUUCUUCUGUAGAAUAACUUUAUUAUUUAGGUUCUCUUAUUUUUAUCAAAAAAUAAUUGUCUAAUUUUAAUGAAAAAUAAAUAUAGGUACAUUUAAUGUUAUAACCCUUACCCAAAAAAUAACCUAGUUUACUUUGGGCCAGGCUAAUCCCUUUGUGUUUUAAUGUAAGGCCCGAGUUUUUCUUUAAUUUUCUUAAGCCCAAGGUUUAUUCAACCCGUGAACCUCAUCUCCUUCCUCUCUCUUUUCUGAAAAGUCAUCUCUCUCUUUCUUUGUUUCUUCCCUCUCUCUCUCUAACUCUCACUCUCUAAAACCCGAGAGAAGAGAGCUCUCACCCUCCCACUUACCUUCACCACCAAGCCCUAUUUUCUACAUAUUCGGAGUCUGUGGGAUGCAAGGAUCACGAUGGUGGUCUUGCAUGUGAUAUCACUGCAGUGAGGACCUCGGCACCAUUAAAGUUGAGAGCUCCAUAGCUCUCAAAGCUUGAACCCAGGUGAACUAUGCCUUCUUCUCUAAAUUUCUGGGUUUAUGAAUGAUAUUUUAAUCUAUGUGAUUAUUAAGUUUAUCCCGUUAUUUCAAGAUUAAGGACGAAACCAUCGUGGGGGAAAGCUCACCCAAACUUUCCGGCGAACCCGUGACUCUCGAGGGAUUUUCCGAGCACACCGGGCCGUGUCACGGUGAAGCAAGGGUACAUUAAUACUCCUCUCUCUCCCCACUUCAUUUUGUUAUGUAGUUUGGACCUUGAGAUGCUCGUUCGUCGUCGACCGGAGCUAUAAUAGCUCCGGUGUUCUUCCCCGGUCAGCUCGCAAGCCUUCAGGCCGUUUAGGACACCCACGGGCCUUAGGCCCAUAUUGGUUCAGCCCUUUUUGCGUAUGGGUGGGUGUAAAUGUGCGAAUGUAUGCUGUGUGUGUGUAUGCAUGUUCGUGCGUAUGUAUGUGCAGUGUGGGUUCGGUGUGUGUCUGUGCGUGUUUGUCCAUGUGAGUGUGUGCGUUUGGUAAGUGUGCAGGCCGUGCAUGUGUGGGUGUAUGUGUAGUGCAUAUGUGCAGUGUGUGAAUAUGUAUAUGUGUGUGUGUGUGCUGGUGCGUAAGUAUAUGUAUGUGUGUGUGUUUAUAUAUAUAUAUAUAUAUGCAUUUGUGGGUGCAGCGCAUGCUAAUGCAUGCUGUGUGUGUUUAUAUAUGUAUCUAUAUAUAUAUAUAUAUAUAUAUAUAUAUGCAAGAGUGUGUGUGUGCAGUGCAUGCUUUGCAUGUAUGUGUGUGUGGGUGAGUAUGGGUUGGGCUCAAGCCCAAACCACCUUUUGAUCCUUACCUAUCCAAAUCCAAGGUCCAUUUCCAUUUCCUAGAAUUAUAUUGUUGGGUAGUUUGAUUAACUGUACGUUCUUGUACUUAGGGACACUUAUCGCGACGUUUCUGUCUUCGCUAGUGGCGCAGCUUUUGACGGAGUAUCUGUGAGUGGACCACCUUCGAAAAUUGCAUGUUUUAUUGAUAGAAUUGCAUAAUUUAAUAGCAUGCCUUACAGAAUUAUUUGAUUUGAGGAUUGAUGAAAUUAUGCUACGAAGUUGUAUUUUAGAGAUGAAUUAUGUUUUGUGCGUACCUAGUGAACACUAUGCCGCCUGGGGCGAGGAUCUGGUGUUGGCAUUGAGGCCGGGAGAAAUAAUCCCUAGCGAAAGGCUGAGGGACACGGAGACAGGCAUUGGGCCGGGAGGGAGAUAUCUCUGGCUACGGGCACAGAGACUGAGGUGCAGGCAUUGGGCCGGGAGUAUUGUUAUUCAGUGCACUCACUAGCAGCACAACUUAUGUUAUGCUUCCUGAUACGAUUUCUGAUAUGAUUUCUGAUAUGAUUUUAUGAGAUUGAUUUGCAGAGAGAUAUAUGAAUUGUUUUUAUGGCAUGCUAGUGGUUUUGAGAAACCUAUCACUUAUUAUUUAGUAGUUUUCAUUAUCUUAACUGUGGGGGUUAGUAUGUUCAUAACUAUUUUUGUACUACGUAUGUAUAUAAACUUGGUCCACUCACCCUUGUUUUGCGCCCCCAUUCAGGACUUAGGAUGAAGGCACAUAACCCCGGCAACAAGGUACUUCCGCAGCGGCAUCUUCGAGUCCUCUCGGGGUAGGACCCACUCAUUUGUUCAUUCAAUCUUAUCUUAAUUCUUAUUAGUGACUAGGUUUAGUUAUAUGCUCUGAACACGUUCCUAAAUUGUUAAUUCAUUGUUUUUAAAUUCAUAACCUGUAUUUAUUUCUUAUUCUUAGCUUUUGUAUCAAUUAAUGGCUUUCGUCACCCCCGGGUGUCGGCCAGCACGUGUCGGUCCUGGUAUUCGGGGAAUAUCAGGGUCGGGGCGUGUCAUUUAAGAUGUCAAGUAAACGUGAUCCAGCUUGGGAACAUGGAGACCCAAUAGACGGAAACAAACAUGGCACAAUUUGCAAAUAUUGUGGUCGGGUAAUGAAGAGUGGCGGAGUGACACGACUGAAGUAUCAUCUUAGUGGAUUAGAUCCAUCAAAAAAUGUCCAACGAUGCGAUAAUGUCCCCCCAGAAGUGAAGGCAUUCAUCAGCACAUUAUUAAAAAAUAAAAAACAGCAGAAGGAAAAGAUGACACAAGGAAUGGAAAAUAUUCGAGCUGAGCUACGGGGAGAAGUCUAUGGCCAAGCGGUUGACAGUGAUGAUGAUGACGAUGAGGACGAAUGUGAUGAUGACAUGGGACCUGAAGAACGACGCAGUUUGAAACAAGCAUUACGUGCCUCCAAACAGUCAGCAUGGGAAAGAGAACACCUUCAUAAAAUUCCUAAUAGGGGACAAGGUUCCGGGACAAGUGGUGGUGCACAAAUGAGACGGGGAGGCAGUCUUAGAGAAUCACAACCAACACCACCAAUAGCCCCAAGUUUAUAUAAGUCAUCCAACGCACGUCAAAAGAGUGUUUGGAGUUAUUUCAAGGGAGGUAAUGUGAAGGAGGGAAUGGGGCGUCUAAUUAGCAAGUUCUUUAUCUAUGAAAAUGUCCCUGCUGCGAAGGCUUCAUCACAUCAUUUCAAAAAUAUGGUAGUGGGAUGUCAACAGGCCGGUGUUGGAGUACAACCUCCCACUCCCUAUGAGAUAAGAAACAAAUAUUUGGAUAUGGAGUAUAAAGACAUUGGCGAGUAUGUUAACAAGUUGAGGUCAAAGUGGGAAACUAAUGGUUGCACAAUCAUGUGUGACGGAUGGACCGGCCCCCGACCAGAUUAUCUAUCAUCAACUUCAUGGUAUAUUCCAAGGGCAAGACAAUUUUUUUGAAGUCUGUUGAUGCUUCAGACCAUAUAAAGAAUUACAAAUAUAUUUACAAAUUAUUGAGGGAUGUAAUCAUGGAGGUGGGAGAGCAUAAUGUUGUCCAAGUCGUGACCGACAACGGUUCUGCAUUUGUCAAAGCUGGAAAAAAGUUAAUGAAGCAUCAUAAUGUGUUUUGGACAUCAUGUGCAACACAUUGUAUUGAUCUUAUGUUUGAGGCAAUGGGGAAGAGAGAGAAUGUUGCUACUGUGGUCAAAAGAGCUAGAACGAUCACUAAUUUAUAUUUACAAUCACGGUUGGUUGUUGGCAAAGAUGCGUGAAUUUUGCAGAGGAGAAAUUAUUCGUCCAGCUACCACUCGAUUCGCCACCAACUAUAUUGCAUUAAACAGCCUACUCAAGAAGAAAGCAGGGUUGAAGCAACUAUUCACCAGUGAUGAUUAGGCCAACCACAAUUUUAGCCGCUCAAAUACAGGUCGUUUGGUGGAAAGUAUAGUGCUUGAUCAUGCUUUUUGGAGUCAAACAGAACAUGUGUGUCAAGUGUUUGAACCUCUUUACAAAGUUUUACGGAUCGUUGACACAGAAGUGUAUCCCUACUAUGGGGGCUGUAUAUGAGUUGAUGCGUGUAGUGAAGGAUGAAUUGGAAAGAAAACAUGGUGCAAGGUGGGUCGUAAAAAUAAUUGAAGACCGAUGGUAUAAAACAUUAUACCACGAUUUGCAUGCAGCAGGUAUAAAUUAUGUCAUAAUUUGCAAUUCAUUUCUUUAGUUGCAUAAAUAUUAUUUAUCUUAUUAGAGUAUGUGUUUCUUUGAAACAGCAUAUUAUUUGAAUCCCCGAUACCAAUACAGACCCGGUGUUGGAGAUGAUGGUACCCUUAUACGUGCUGUACAUAAUGUAUACUCUAAAUUAGACCCUGCAUCACCAGCAGUUGGCCAAUUUGGAAAUGAGGUACACAAUUACUUAAAUUAUAAUAAUUACUUUGUUGGAUUAAACUAACACAAUUUAUUGUAUUCAGCUAACAUGGUUUAAAGAUGCAAGAAGAACAUUUGGAGAACCAACAUCAGUUGCUGCUCGAACAAAUAUGUCUCCUAGUGAGUAUAAACAUAUUUCACUAUAAGUUUUAUAAUAGAAUUUUUGUUGGAGUUAUUAGGCUUAUCAACAUUAUUUUUCAUUGUAGCUGAAUGGUGGAUCAUGUAUGGGACCGAUGCACCAACUGUGAGAAAGUUAGCAAUAAAAGUAUUAUCACAAACAGCUUCCUCAUCAGCUUGUGAAAGAAAUUGGAGCACAUUUGCACUCAUCCAUACAAAGCAAAGAAAUAAGUUGGCUCAUAGUAGCUUGGAAAAAUUAGUUUAUUGCUACUACAACAUGAAGCUUCAAAUUCGAGAUAAGGAAGCAAGAAUCGAUCAUGUCGACCGUGGUGACCCACUAGAUGUGUUUGAUAUUGUUGGUGAAGAUGAUGAUAUGGAGGGUAACCAACUUUUUCAAUGGAUUAGACCUCUUCAUUUAGAUGAUGAUGAAGGCAACCCAGCUCCCAGAGUUGCUGAAGAAGCACGUAAUGAAGGGAUAAAUGUAGAAAGAGUAUUAGAGGAGGAGGUGGGAUCUAGCAGCGCUGACUCUUUCGAAGAACUUUUGCACCCAAUGCCAAGCAACACUGGAAUUCCACCUUUUUCUAAUCCUACACAACCACAACAUCGUGCUGAUACUAAUGAUAGCUCUAGUACAAGAUCAGGAGACUCACCUACCACCGGAGGUGGGAAUGAUGAAGGAAAUAGUGGAGCUGGAGGUAGUGGAGCUGGAGGUAGUGGUGGUGGAUAUGGAAACUAUUAUGGACCACCACCUCCCGGAUAUAUGAGCCCCUUCACUGGUGAGGCAAACUUCACGCAUGCAACACAAGAUGAUGACCAUGGCAGUAGGCGGGCAAGACCAGGAAUUGGUGCCAUAGGGAAGGACUAUACUCGCAGAGAAAGAGGCAAAGGGAUUUUGUCAAGUCAAGAAGAUGACUCGUUAUCUAGAACUUCAGACUCUUUUGGAUUGGGAAGUAGUAACUAUGGUUAUACUCAUAACCAACCAUUUCCCUACCCUUCAUAUCCCAUUCCUGUUGGGAUGGAAUCGAGCGACUCAUGGAAUCAAUCCCAGCCUCAAUCUUCAAAUGAUUUUUCUUAUGGACAACCUCAACCAAUCUCGGAUCCAUAUGGGUGGCAUAUUAACAAUUACAUGCAAAACUAUUUUGGGGAUUUAUCAUUUGAUAACUACUCUUCACAAUACACUCAUUCUACACAUAGAGAUGAUGAAGAUAGUGACAAAUUUGAACCUCAUAGGAACUCUAUGUGGUACUAAAGUGUAAAAUAUUGUACUAAUUCAUUAUAUAUAAAUGAUUAUGGUGUGUUUAGACUUCUUUCAUUAAUUACUACAUAUUUUCUACACUCAUAAUGUUUGUCAGAUCGCUAUAUAAUCAACUUGAUAAUGUUAAAUCCAUCAUGCAAUGCAUUUCCUUCCAAUUUUUUGUGAUAAACUAAUAGAUAAUUGACUAAAUAAACAUCCUACAAAGUUUCAAUACAAAUUUCCAAGUUUUUCUUACAAUUUCCGUGGUUUCCAUGUAAUUUUUAUCGAUAUCGAUAUUUUACCGAUAUUUCCAUCGAUAUUUCCGUGUUUUCGGACUACCGAUAUUUCCGAUAUCACCGAUAUUUUCUUCCUUGAGGAGGACAAUGAGAGGAAAUUUCGGAGAAUAGAGAAAAGGAGAAGGGAAAAGUAGAAAAGGAGAAGAGAAGGGAUAAGGGGAAGGAAGCUUAGGAGGGUAGGCAGACGAAAAGAGGGAAAUGCAUAAAAAUAAAAAAUAAAAAAGGAAAGUUGACUUCAUCAUUAUGUCUCCUAGCGGAAAGGAGCAAUCACAUUGUAAAUUAUAUUUCGUAUAAUGAGAAAUUAGUAUUCCUACUCGAGGAUAUAGACACAACUUGUCGAAUCUCGUUACUAUACAGCAAGUCUAUAAUUGCACAACAAUUUGAUUAACCACCUUAAGUUCAUCCAUAUGUACUAAGAUUCAAGUUUUUCCAAACUUUCCUUAUGAAACUAACUGAACAUUACAAGUGCCUCAUUAUUAUGCGGUUCGAUCAAGUUUUAAUUUUUGUCUCAUAACCACAUUAUCUUUAGGACAAUAAUCUUGUGGUUGAAUAUAAAAACCUUCGACAUGGUGAUCAAUGGCGGAGCCAAGUUAAGGGCUGCCCUGGGCUGCAGCCUAGGUAGCUUGUGGUGAAAAAUAAAAUUUUACAUGUAAAUUAGAUUGAUUUUCGAAUGUAGUCCACCAAAUAUUUAGUCGCUAAUUCAAAUUCUCUAGGUUUAACUAUAUAAAAUUAUAUAAUACACUUUGCAAACCAUCUCUUUUUCUUACAUUAUUUUUCUCAUCGCUUCUUGUACAUGUACAAAUUUGGAUUUGUUUAAUUUUAACACGUUUUUGGCUCACCUUGUGAAUUUUUUUAAGCUAACUGAUACUAUAAGAAAUAGGGUAUCAAGUUUCUUUAUUUAAAAAGAUUUAAAAUUUUAAACUAGCCCACCCGGUAAAACAUUCCUAACUCCGCUAUUGAUGGUGAUAUUGGAAACACUAGUUGGUGGGUUGAUUGGUAGAAAUGGUUCCAACAAUUUAAAGAUGAGAAAUGAGUAUUGAGCAAUGAUCAAAAUGUGUUGUACUUUAUCAGAAAAGAUCUUUGUGCAAUCAAAAGUGCAUUUUAUCACAAAAAGGUAACAACGAUCAAUAUAAUUGUUAUUUAUAAAAUCACACAUAAAAUAAGAAGUAAUCUUUUCUUUUUCUUUUCAUCUCUGCCACUAUGGGCCGACCAUGACUUAAAGAAACGCUUUUUGGGUCAAUGGAUGGGAACGACCCAUUUUAUAAUAUUGUUUGUAAAUUUUUCUGGAAGUAGAUGGAAAUGACCGAAGUACAUAUUUCCCCUGCUCACAGACAUUUGCAUUGCACCUAGCAAACACCAGUUUUUUUGUUUGAACAUCGAUCCACAUCAACGUUUAAUUCAAGAUAAAGAAAGGUAAUCGCAACACGACGGCGGCGACGUGGCGGUCAUUUAACGGAAAAUAACAGACAAAUCAGCCUCCAGAUCAAGUCUUGAAGCACAACUCUGAAAAAUCGAGACUACCUACAUCUGAGCUCCGACCAACCGCUGAUGGAGGCAAUCAGGAAGCUCAGAGAUCAGGUCGCCAAGCAACAGCAGGUACUCUCUCUCUCUUGUUUGAUUCCGAAUUUGUAUUUCUCAAUGGAAUUUUAUAUGAACAUAAUCUGCGUUGAUUGCGAGAUACUGAGAUUGCUUAAUGAAAUAAUAUUUAUAUAAUUGUUCGAGUUGAAUUGGAUCGAUUCGAAUUCGAAUAGAAUUUCACUAUUUCUGAGCUGUGUUGGAGUGCAGUGUUGCCGAAUUUCUGAAAUUUUGAGCUAGGUGUUGCUAAUUACUUAUCCAUUUUUGGAUUUAAUUGGAUGCUUAAUUUUUACAUUUUCGGAAAACUUCAAGCAAAAAUGGUAUAUGAUUUUUAUCAUAAAAAGAGUUAGUCGAAGCUUUAUCGAGUUUGCUUUUGAUUAUUUUAUCAUAAAAAGAUGAGCAACGAUCUAUAUAAUUUUUCUGGAAGUUGAUGGAAAUGACCCAAUUACAUAUUUCCCCUCCUCACAGACAUUUGCAUUGCACCUAGCAAACACCAGUUUUUUUGUUUGAACAUCGAUCCACAUCAAUGGCUCUUGUGAGAACAUCUCCAGGAACCUCCUCUGAUUCCAACACUUUUCGGAGUUCUCGCUACGACGUGUUCUUGAGCUUCAGAGGGGAAGAAACUCGCAAGACUUUUACCGACCACCUCUACACAGCCUUGAACAACGCAGGAUUUCUUACGUUCCGAGACGACGAUGAACUUGAGAGAGGAGAAGAUAUAAAGCCAGGACUGCAGAAAGCGAUCCAGCAGUCACGAACUUCUGUUGUCGUGUUUUCGAAAGAUUACGCGUCAUCCAGUUGGUGUCUUGAUGAGCUUGUGCUGAUCCUUGAACGCAAGAGGACCACCUCGGACCAUGUAGUUUUACCAGUCUUCUACGAUGUCGAUCCGUCCCACGUGAGGAAGCAGACAGGAAGUGUUGGAAAAGCAUUUGCUAGAAGCCAGAAAAAUCAGUCGCCGGAAAAGGUGCAGGGAUGGAGGAAGGCACUUGCAGAGAUUGCAGACCUAGCAGGCAUGGUCUUACAAAAUCAAGCUGAUGGGUAACUUUCAUUAUCUCCAUUUCUCAUCUCUUUCCUGGGUGAAUUUGAUGUAUGAUCCGUAGUGACCUAGAUUUUUAUAUGUUUAUUAAUUCAAUCUCAGUAGUGAAUAAUAAUCUCAAUUUAGGUCAACUUAAAGAAAUCACACUCAACUCAACUUAAGGAUUAGUCAUUUUCCAUGUUAAUCUACUGGUUUCAGUUGCUUAAAUUUUUUUGAAAGCUGGUGUGGAAAAAAGUUAGGAUGUGAUAUGUCAUGUAUUUGUCUAUAGUUCGUAUAAAUUAUGCGCACUAUUCCUUUCUUUUUUUUCAAUUUAAUUUUGUCAGCAGUCCUUUUUUUUUUCUUAUUUAAAUAAAGGCAAUCAACAUAUGUUUGAAGGGAAUUUUAACGAAAAACCACAUUUUUACACUAAAAAGUCAAUCCUGAUACUAUUCACUUUACCCUUUAUUUUGUAAUUAUCUAAUUUUCCCAAUUCAUUUUUUGUUUUGUUUGCAAAUUCUUAGGUACGAGUCAACGUUUAUCAAAAACAUUAUUAAAGUGAUAGGAGACAAGUUAAGUCGCACGCCAUUGAGUGUUGAACCAAAAUUGAUUGGAAUUCAAUCUCAAGCCGAACACAUCAAUUUGUGGUUCCAAGAUGGAUCAAGUGAUGUUGGUAUAUUUGUUGUGUAUGGCAUGUCUGGAAUCGGGAAGACAACCAUUGCAAAACAUGUUUACAAUUCAAACUUUGGAAGCUUUCAAGGAAGUAGUUUCAUUGAAAAUAUCAAGGAAACAGCAGAUCGACCAAAUGGCUUAGUUCAAAUACAAAUGCAACUUCUUUGUGAUAUUUUGAACGGCAGAGAAGUGAAAAUACACAGUGUUAGUGAGGGAAUAAUUAAGAUUGAAAGGGCCAUAAGCUCUAAAAGAGUUCUACUUGUUCUUGAUGAUGUUGACCAUAUGGACCAAUUAGAUGCAAUCCUAACGAUGAAAGAUCAGUUUUAUCCUGGAAGUAAGAUACUAAUAACAACUAGGUGUGAAAGGUUGUUAAAGGCAGAUCAAGUUACCGAGGUGCACAGAGUUCAAACUUUGGAUGACAAUGAAUCAUUAAAGCUUUUCAGUUGGCAUGCUUUUGGCCAGGACCAUCCCAUAGAAGAAUACAUGGAGCACUCAAAACAGCUAGUGCAACAUAGCGGCGGACUUCCAUUAGCUCUAAAAGUUUUGGGUUCUUCUUUAUCAGGAGGACGUAUAGGUGUAUGGGAAAGUGCAUUGGAGAAGCUAAAAGUUAUUCCUGAUGGUGAAAUCAUGAGUAAACUAAGAAUAAGCUAUGAAAGUUUAAAAGAUGACCAUGACCGGAAAUUAUUCCUCCACAUUGCUUGUUUCCUAAUAGGAAGGAACAAAAGUUACAUUGUUAGAAUAUUCGAUGGAUGUGAUUUCUAUACAAUCAUUGGCAUUCAAAAUCUCAUUGAUAGAUGCUUGGUGACACUUGAUGAAUACGGCAAGGUGAACAUGCAUGACUUGAUUCGUGCUAUGGGAAGAGAAAUUGUUCGCCAAGAAUCAGAAGAGCCUGAGAAACGUAGUAGAUUAUGGCGCCAUAAGGAUUCUUUCCAAGUAUUGAGGAAAAAGAAUGUAAGAAACAUGUCUUUUAUGUCUAUAUAUGUAUUUCUUCUUGUGAAAAUUACGCAUAUUAAUGUCUCUAUUGUUUCCUUUAGGGUACAAAAAAAAUCCAAGGUCUUUUCCUGGAUAUGCGUAACCAUCCUGCAAACAAUCCAAUAAACACAAAUGAGAUAGUCUUGGAAACCAAUGCAUUUGCAAGGAUGCGCAAUUUACAACUACUCCAUCUUAGUCAUGUACGAUUGGAUGGAUGUUAUGUAGAUUUCCCUACAGGAUUAAGAUGGUUGUGUUGGCUUGAAUUUCCUUUGGAUUCUAUACCAAUUGAUUUUCCUUUGGAGAACGUAAUUGUUCUUGAAAUGCAAUACAGUAGCUUGAGACAAGUAUGCAAAGGAACAAAAGUAUGUUACUCUAUGCAUUUCAAUUCAUUUUCCUUAUUUUGUUAGUUUUUUAUUUGUGGACUAACUCCAUGUGUUAAAAUGAACUAUUAUGUUUUCUUUAAUUCGAUAACUAAUUUCUUAUGUUAGACACUUAUUUCAUUGUUCUUUUUUUUUCUUUUUUCUUUUUCCUUUGUUUCCACAGUUUCUUCCAUCGUUGAAGAUCCUUGACGUCAGCCAUUCUCAUGGCCUUAGUGAAACCAUUGACUUCUCACUUUCCCCCAAUCUAGAGGAACUGAUUCUUGUAGAUUGCACAAGCCUGAAGAAUGUUCAUGAAUCCAUUGGAAACCUGGAGAGACUCGUGUACUUGAAUUUGAAGGAUUGCAAGAAUCUUAGGAUGCUUCCGAAGAACAUGUGCAUGCUUAAAUCACUUGAAACACUCAUUUUAUCUGGUUGCUUAAAUCUUGAUGAGUUUCCAGUGGAGAUGAUGAAGAA
RNAcentral lists this long non-coding RNA (44660 nucleotides) under Malus domestica (apple). RNAcentral describes it as "long non-coding RNA (MDOM_LNC007220)". Lineage: Eukaryota; Viridiplantae; Streptophyta; Magnoliopsida; Rosales; Rosaceae. The record is from RNAcentral.